Molecule: long non-coding RNA, 61483 nt
Filed under: Solanum tuberosum (potato)
Lineage: Eukaryota; Viridiplantae; Streptophyta; Magnoliopsida; Solanales; Solanaceae
Description: long non-coding RNA (STUB_LNC003762)
Rfam family: tRNA (bases 50598-50668)
Source: RNAcentral
UUAAAUUGCGCAGAAAAAAAAUACAUCUACAAACUAUACGUGUUUUUCUCACUGUUCAUGAUAUUUUGAAUAAAAACUUGCUUUUGACAUCCUUAUAUUUUAUCACUUAAAAUUUGCAUCCUCAACCCUCUUAGCUAUCCUCCCUUGUAACAUCAAGAAACUGAAUUCAGCUAGCAUGUAUUAAGUAUGACAUCAAAGUUUAAGAUGCACAUAUAAAUUGUAAUUGGAGUCUUGAGUGUCACAUGUCAAACACCUAGCCUUUAACAUUUAAAGAGUUCAGUAGACUUGGAGACCUGUAUCGGUCUACUAGACACAAGUAGGGCACUAUCUCAUAAUUUUCUGCCUAUCCUCAGGGUGCAUAACAAGAUUUUAAAAGGAUAUUAUUAAGUCUCUUAUGAAAAAAUGAAACGUAUGAUCUACCAAAUCUUCAAGCGCCUAUUAUUUGACAAAGUCCUCAAUUCAGAGGAGGAGGAACUUCCAGCUAGAUUUUUAGCAUGGUGUUUUAAGUUUCUUGGCACUAUGAAUUAAGUUAGAUGUUCAAUGUUUAUAAUCUUUAACAAAGUUGAAUGACUUGAAUCUAUCAUUUGUUACAUUGGAACCAACAUAAUCAAUGAAAUGUCAUAUAUGAUGAGUAGUUCUAAAUGUUUAAUUAGUUAGUAUAUAAAUCCUAUAUUACAAAAUCUUAUCAUGCUUGUUUGUGUCCUGUAGCUUUCAAANNNNNNNNNNNNNNNNNNNNNNNNNNNNNNNNNNNNNNNNNNNNNNNNNNNNNNNNNNNNNNNNNNNNNNNNNNNNNNNNNNNNNNNNNNNNNNNNNNNNNNNNNNNNNNNNNNNNNNNNNNNNNNNNNNNNNNNNNNNNNNNNNNNNNNNNNNNNNNNNNNNNNNNNNNNNNNNNNNNNNNNNNNNNNNNNNNNNNNNNNNNNNNNNNNNNNNNNNNNNNNNNNNNNNNNNNNNNNNNNNNNNNNNNNNNNNNNNNNNNNNNNNNNNNNNNNNNNNNNNNNNNNNNNNNNNNNNNNNNNNNNNNNNNNNNNNNNNNNNNNNNNNNNNNNNNNNNNNNNNNNNNNNNNNNNNNNNNNNNNNNNNNNNNNNNNNNNNNNNNNNNNNNNNNNNNNNNNNNNNNNNNNNNNNNNNNNNNNNNNNNNNNNNNNNNNNNNNNNNNNNNNNNNNNNNNNNNNNNNNNNNNNNNNNNNNNNNNNNNNNNNNNNNNNNNNNNNNNNNNNNNNNNNNNNNNNNNNNNNNNNNNNNNNNNNNNNNNNNNNNNNNNNNNNNNNNNNNNNNNNNNNNNNNNNNNNNNNNNNNNNNNNNNNNNNNNNNNNNNNNNNNNNNNNNNNNNNNNNNNNNNNNNNNNNNNNNNNNNNNNNNNNNNNNNNNNNNNNNNNNNNNNNNNNNNNNNNNNNNNNNNNNNNNNNNNNNNNNNNNNNNNNNNNNNNNNNNNNNNNNNNNNNNNNNNNNNNNNNNNNNNNNNNNNNNNNNNNNNNNNNNNNNNNNNNNNNNNNNNNNNNNNNNNNNNNNNNNNNNNNNNNNNNNNNNNNNNNNNNNNNNNNNNNNNNNNNNNNNNNNNNNNNNNNNNNNNNNNNNNNNNNNNNNNNNNNNNNNNNNNNNNNNNNNNNNNNNNNNNNNNNNNNNNNNNNNNNNNNNNNNNNNNNNNNNNNNNNNNNNNNNNNNNNNNNNNNNNNNNNNNNNNNNNNNNNNNNNNNNNNNNNNNNNNNNNNNNNNNNNNNNNNNNNNNNNNNNNNNNNNNNNNNNNNNNNNNNNNNNNNNNNNNNNNNNNNNNNNNNNNNNNNNNNNNNNNNNNNNNNNNNNNNNNNNNNNNNNNNNNNNNNNNNNNNNNNNNNNNNNNNNNNNNNNNNNNNNAAAGGUUUUCAUAUAAAUAGACUAACGAGACAAGAUGGUAAAAUAGAUUAAGACAUAGUUAACAAAAACAUACAUUGGGUGAUUAUUCUAUCAAAGUUCAUUAAUUAUCUUAGUACUAUUUUUUGACACGACUUGAACGUGUUUUGUGAAAUGUGAAUCUUAUUUAAAGAUAGUGUAACUUUAGACUAAUCAAUUUUCCAUAUAUAAAAGUUAGUGAAUCAUUGUAAUUUGAAAUUGAUAUUCAUGCCUAAUACAAAAGUUUUUUACUUUAAACAGUUGGUCAGUUUUGAUAACAUUCAAAAAUAUAAAAGGCUUCAUCGAAAGUACUUAGCAUAAACACAUAAUUACAAAAACAAUAAUAUCAUCAAACAAAAAUAAAUGUAAUUUUCAAAAGUGAAAUUUGAAGAGGGAUAGAGAUAGAGUGUACACAUAUCAUAUCCGUAUUUCUUAGACAUAAAGAAAUUAUUUCCAAUAAACACCAAACUUAUAAUAAAGCAUAUUCCAACAAAUAGGAAAAAGAAAAUUUGGGUAAAUGAGAAUUGUAGCAACAACAAGAUAAAUGAGAACACAUGAUUAAGAAUUAAAAUCAAUCUAGUAGUCUUGAGCAUGAUAGAUUAUUUAUAAGUGCUUAAUAAAGGUGAAUAAAUACAAAGACAGUAAUAAAAAACCUAUCAUUAACUACUUUAUUUAUGAAUUUCAUACUAAUAGAAAUAUCUAAGAUAGAACUUGGAACUUACUAUCCUCUUGCCUAGCAGACAAAGAUUUACUUCCGUGGAAAGGCUGAUUUAUGCGGAUCGACAUGAGAGUCCAACUACAUUGCCAUAAUCCAUGUUGUAUAUUUGAAAGAGGUUGACCUCCUUACUUAUUUCAUGUUAUUCUCCUCUUCCCGCCGAACCCCUUUUCUCCUCAGUACACUAAGACAAAAUGUAGGACUGGUGUCAAUAAUUCAUCACGGUCCGCAUGUAACAAAUGAUACAAUGAUAAUUACGCAAUAUAAUAACAACAAAAUAAAGCAUAGAACACAUAUUUUUAGCACAAAAGUAGACAAAGAUAGCUUAAAAAAUAUUUUGGCCUCGCAAAUAAAAGACGCUCGUAAAAAUAUGAAAAUGAAGGAUAAAAUUGGGUGUCAACAAUUAUUUUUUCAUUGGGAUAAAACUUCACAUAUUUUUGCCUGAAUUGUUGUUUUAUGAAAGCCAAAUAUAAAGUAAUUUGGCCCGUAAUUUUGGUAUGACUUACUAAGGUCAACUAUAACACUUCAAAAAUUUGAAUUAGAUUUGAGUCAUUAAAUUUCAUUGCUUUGACUGCUAAAGCAAAUGUAAAUACAUACAAAAGCUAAUAUCUUAUCAUGUACAAGGUGUACAAAAAGGUUGAAAUCAAAGAGAAUUUAAAAUAUCAAAUUUUGAUCGUCGAGGUAUGAUGAAUAUAUGGAUUGUAAAUGUGACACGCGGACGGUCCGCAUGUCCAAUCAUAUGUGAGGUUUAGAAGGUUAUAAAUUUUGAAGUGGAACUAAAGAAUUUUCAUAAUUUUUUGAGGCAAUUUAGGAAGAUAUUAAACAUAUAUUGUUAUCAAUUUUUAAUUUAAAUCGAAUGUUUAACAAAAUUGAUAUUAUAAUAAAACUCUCAUAUUUAGGCUCGUUACUCGUAAGUCUUCAACAUGGGACAACAGACAAUCUCAAACACCCAGUGUGUUACAUCCUUUUCCCUUAGGAUCAUUCAUCCUCGAAAUAUGACAACACAUUAAUCAUCUACUUUCUCAAACAAAGGUCUUGGGUAUUCAAACUCACAUAAUUCUACCUUUUUAGAACGUCUAAUCAAUUAUUUAAAGACUAUUUUGUCAAAUCGGAGGUUUGCAUGAUCAUAUCAAUCUCAUUCAUAAAGCGUCAACCCCAUUAACUUCUCUUGAGCAGUUCAUAUGCUUAGAAAAAUCAUUUUUAUGGGAUUUCUAGGUUCCUCAGAUUCAUAAUUAAGGCUAGGUUUAUAAUUCUAUACUAGUAGACAAUGUUUAACGGACUAAAAUUGAAAAUUAUUCAUAAUUAACCUGCCCCACAUGUUGUGCCAUUAAAAUAAUAAUUCUAUCCCCCAAGGCCUAGCUCAAGUGGCAAAAGGUGGAGGAUUUGUGGCUUAGGUCGCAGGUUCAAGCCCCACACCAUGCAAAGCGAAGCCCGGUAUUUAAGUGGAGAAGGGUAGAGGGGCGGGCCCAUUAUCCACUGAGUUUAGAAGGCUGUGAUUGGUCCACCACGAAUUUCUCGGUUAUCAAAAAAAUAAAAAAUUCUAGGUUUCAAUGUGUAAAAUCCUAUGAAGAGCAUAUCUUUCAAUUCAGGGAGGACAUCGAAGUAUGGAAGGAACGAAUGAAAGAACGAAAACACAUACCUCAAGAGAGAAAAUCACCAAGUCUUUGACAAAUCUCCUAUAGGAUUCUCUGGUAAAAAAAAUUACGUUAUGACUAAGUCUGAAUGAAAACUAACUUAAAAACACGAGUUAUUGUUUCCCGACCUUCACUAUAGCGAAACUUCGCUACCUUCUCUAUGUAGCAUUCUUUCGUUAUAGCAAUCUCGCUAUUUAAAGAAAGUGUUCGCUAUAGUGAAGCACUAGCUGAAUUUCACACUCGCUUUUCCAUUUCAAAAUUUCUACCAACUCUUAACCCACAGAGAUCUACACAAGGGUACUAUCGCCCUAAACAAUCAUAACGAUGGAACAAGUCGUUACACAUUUGCUGAAUAAUCUUAAUUGUAGUAAAAUAGAUGUAAUCUACUGAAACUUUGUUGAGGGAGAAUUUUUUGUAUUGAGGAUAAUGAGUAUGUUGUUUUAUGCAAAUUGUCAUAUUUUGUCGAUAAAACAAUAAAGUCAUGAGUGUCGAACCAAAUGUUAGCUAGUUUUGGACAUCAUUCUGGUUUCAUUAUUUUCAUUUGGACAAAACUUCACACUUUUAUCUAAAUUGUGAUCUUACUGAUACGCUCAAAUUACACCUCCUUUCAGAAGCAUAAGCGAUCGUUAUCAAGUAAAGAACCCAACUUGUAGGUUGGGAUCGAUCCCACGAGGAAAAUGGUUUAGACUUUACUUUUAACCAACAAUUAUAUUCAAUUAGUCAAAUUAUUUCCAGAAACAGGUAAUAAAAAGGGGGGUUGUGCUUGUGUAAAACAAAUAGUAAGACUUAAUAUUGUAAUCAAUAAUUAAAUUCAACUUUAAUUGUUAUCAAGAUAGGAGAAAUAACUAGGGUACACGUGUUCCCCAUAAUCUCAUAACGCAGUAAUCCUAGCAAUAGCAAUCCUUUUCUAGUAUAUUACAUGCAAAGUGAUAAGUUAGGUAUCUCUAAAUCCUUGGUCCGGCAUCUAGAGAAUUUCACCCCGCACCUUGGUCCGGCUACGUGUGUAUAAUUUACUAACCCUUACCUUUACCUCAUAUUAGACAUCAUAAUCGAUGUUUGGCUUAGUUAUUACUUCGCACCAAUCAACACUAGCUUAUUAGAUAGUAUCACACUAAAUCUAUGUUGAUAAUUCUUUUCUUGUUAAUUACCUCCUUGGUCCGGCAAGUAGCAACAAGGCGAGUUCUAACGCAUGUACUCAUUAAAAAGACUUUUAAACGAAAGAAUGAUCAAUGCAUGCAAAACACUAUUCAAGAAUUACUUAUUUACUAUUCAUACUUUGUUAAUCGAUCAUGGUUCCCACAACCCUAGUUGUGAAUUUAGUUACUCAUAUUGGCAAGAACACAAUUCAUAAUUAUAGAUGAAGAAAUCAUGAACUUACGUAGAACGAAUAAUAAACCCAGAAUUUCAACUUGAAUUGCAACACCAAAAUCUUCAAAAUGAACUUAGGAAAUNNNNNNNNNNNNNNNNNNNNNNNNNNNNNNNNNNNNNNNNNNNNNNNNNNNNNNNNNNNNNNNNNNNNNNNNNNNNNNNNNNNNNNNNNNNNNNNNNNNNNNNNNNNNNNNNNNNNNNNNNNNNNNNNNNNNNNNNNNNNNNNNNNNNNNNNNNNNNNNNNNNNNNNNUAGAUCGACCUACGGUCCGUCAAUCCCCUCCGUAGCUCCAUACUUAGAAUCUUCAAAAAUCAGGUACUGGAACCCUCGCAGUAUCACUCUACGGAUCAACAGUACGGUCCGUAGAUCAGUCUACGGACCGUCAAUGGGCGUCGUGGUUCCACACUUGGUCAGAUUUCCCUGAUUUAUCCUCACUAUCAUGCCUGCUGAUCUACGGUCAUAACCUACGGACCGUGGAUGGAUCUACGGUCCGUAGAUCACCUCCGUGGAUGUCCCUUUUCUGCAAUUCCUUCAGCUGUCUCUACACAUCCGCACCUGAACGUCUUUCCUGCAAAACAUGGUAAAAACACAUCAAAACCAAUAUAAAAAGGCCUUAGACACACACAACUAGUAAGUGAAACGUAUUAGAAAUACCGUAAACUCACGGUAUAUCACUUACGAAAGCCAAACAUCAAAUAUUUUUGCCCAAUAAUUGGUAUGGCCUACCAAGGUUAACUGUAACACUUCAAAAAUUUGGAUUAAAUUUGAGUCAUUAAAUUUCAUUGCUUUGACUCGAGCUACGUUAAAGCAAAUGUGAAUAUGUAAAAGUUAAUUUCUUAUCGUGUACAAAGGGUGCAAAAAGGUUGAAAUUAAAAUAAAAAUAAAAAUAUCAAAUUUAGAUCGUUGAUAUGACAUAUGUUAGAAUAGUAAUAGGUAUAUACAAUCCUACUUAGAAUAGGAAUAGGUUUAUACAAUCCUAUUUAGAAUAGGAAUAGGAAUAGGAAUAGUAAAUAGUAUCUUAUUUGGUAAAGGAUUGUAUUCUAGUGUCUAUAAAUACGGUUUCAAUGUAAUAAUGUAGACACAACAACAAUUCAAUAAUAUUCCUCCCCUAUAUUUCUCACAUGGUAUGCCUUGUAUGUCGAUUACGUAAGACACUCUGUGGUCUAAAACAGUCUUUGCAAGCUUGGUUUGGGAAGUUCCAACACUGUAAUUUUAUCACUCUAUGUUUUAUCGGCAUUAUGCAUCAAAUUCAGUAUUUCAUGAGAAGACUAAGCACAUUGAGAUUGAUUGUCAAUUUUGUGAAGUCGAGUGAUCAACUUUCAUAUAUCUCACCAAGCUCCUCUUCGGUCCUCGUAUUAAUUAUAUUUGUUACAAGCUAGAUACAUAUGAUUUGUAUGCACUAGCUUGAGGGGGAGUGUUAGAAUAGUAAUAGGUAUAUACAAUCCUACUUAGAAUAGGAAUAGGUUUAUACAAUCCUAUUUAGAAUAUGAAUAGGAAUAGAAAUAGUAAUAGAAAUAGGAAUAGUAAAUAGUAUCCUAUUUGGUAAAUGAUUGUAUUGUAGUGUCUAUAAAUAGGGUAUUUGUGUAAUAAUGUAGAUACAACAAUAAUUCAAUAAUAUUCUUGUCUUAUAUUUCUCACAACAUAAAUAUAUACAGACUGUACAUAUGAAACGGGAACGGUCUGCAUGUCCAAUCAUAUAUGAGGUUCAGAAGUUAGAAAUUUUCAAGUGGAACAAAAUAAUUUUCAUAAAUUUUUAGGCAUUUUAGGAAGAAAUUAAGCAUAUAUUGCAAUCAAAAUUUUAAUUUAAAUCAGAUAUUGAACAAAAGUGGUAUUAUAAUAAAACUCUCAUAUUUAGACUCAUUACUCGUAAGUUUUCAACAUGAGACAACGGACAGUAAUAAAACUCUCAUAUUUAGACUCAUUACUCGUAAGUUCUCAACAUGAGACGACGGACAAUCUUAAACAUUUGGGAUGUGACAUCUUCCUCCUUAGGAACAUUCAUUCUCGAAAUAUGACUACACAUUAAUCAUCUUCUUUCUCAAACGAAGGUCUUGAGUAUUCAAACUCACAAAAUUUUACCUUUUUAGAAGGUUUAAUCAAUUAUUAAAGAUGACUUUAUCAAAUUGAAAGUAUGCAUGAUCAUAAUGAAGUUGUGAAGUUUCGCUAUAGAGAAGGUCGGAAAACAGUAACUCACGUUUAUAUGUUAGUUUUUGUCCGUCCUUAGUCAUAAUGUAAAAUAUUUGACCAGAGAACCCAGAGGAGAUUAUUUCAAGACUUGGGGUUUCUCUCUUGAGGUAAGUGCUUUUCGUUCAUUCAUUUCUUCCAUAAUUCGGUUUCCUCCCAGAACUGAAAAGAUAUCCAUAGGAUUUUAUCCAUUGAAACCUAGGGUUAUUAUUUUGAUGGCACAACAUGUGGGGCAGGUUAAUUAUGAAUGAUUUUCAAUUCUUGUCUGUUAAAUUUUGUCUUUCUAGAAUAGAAUUAUGAACCUAGCCUACCUAGAAAUUCCAUAAAAAUGAUUCUUCGAGCAUAUGAAUUGUUCAACAGAAGUUAAUGAGGUUGAAAUAGUGAUCUAGUUAUUACAAAGAAAGUGUCCGCUAUAGUGAAACACUAGCAAAUUUUCAUACUCGAUUUUCAAUUUCCAGAUUUCUACCAACUCUUGACACACGGAGAUCUACACAAGGGUACUAUAGCCCUAAACAACUAUAAUGACGGAAUAAGUCAUUACACAUCUGCUGAAUAAUCUUAAUUGUAGCCAAAUAGUUGUUAUCUACUGGAACUUUGUUGAGGGAGAGUUUUCCUCGUCAUAUUUUUGUUGAUAAAACAACAAAGCCAUGAUUGUCAGACAAAAAUGUUAGCUAGUUUUGGACAUCAUUCUGCUUACAUUUGGACAAAACUUCACACCAUACCAUACCAGUUUUACUGCUAUGAACUCUACCAAGUUUUGAUGUGAUGAUGGGGUAAGUUGCUAAUUUUUUAAGCUUUUGUUGUUGCCAGAACUAUGUAAUAUGAUUCGGCAACUGCCUUGAUCGAAAUAUUGGGGAUUUAUGGAAAAUCUCUUAUUUUCUGAACAGGUAGACCUAAAUGGUCUAUGAGAGUUAUUUAGGGAGGAUAUGGAAUGGUUAUGAAAAGGGCAAAGUAGAUGGCAAAAUCAAUUUAUAGUCUUGGUUUUAUUUCAAAAAUUCAUGUCCAGACUAUUUGCUUGACUAAUACCUGCAUAACUAAUACCCGCAUAAGUAAUACCUGCAUAACUAAAACCAACAUAAGUAAUACCUGCAUAACUAAUACUCACAUAACUCUAUCCAGCUACCAAACAACUAUGGAAAGAUCGAAGCAAUGAAAGCAGAGUGGUUGCUACUAGUAAUGUCUUGUCAUUGCAAACAAAUACAGGCAGAUGGUCAUGUUAGUUUGCAACAACACAUGGCUGCUUCCAUAUUAUCAUACACAAUAGAGGACAAGCUUAAAGAAGUUGUAGUAGCUUAAGCUAUUCAAGAAUCCAAUGGUCCAUAAAGAACUAAUGGGGUGGUGGGUUAAAGAAUGUACAUUUUGGGAUAGAAUUUUUGUUCUGGAUGNNNNNNNNNNNNNNNNNNNNNNNNNNNNNNNNNNNNNNNNNNNNNNNNNNNNNNNNNNNNNNNNNNNNNNNNNNNNNNNNNNNNNNNNNNNNNNNNNNNNNNNNNNNNNNNNNNNNNNNNNNNNNNNNNNNNNNNNNNNNNNNNNNNNNNNNNNNNNNNNNNNNNNNNNNNNNNNNNNNNNNNNNNNNNNNNNNNNNNNNNNNNNNNNNNNNNNNNNNNNNNNNNNNNNNNNNNNNNNNNNNNNNNNNNNNNNNNNNNNNNNNNNNNNNNNNNNNNNNNNNNNNNNNNNNNNNNNNNNNNNNNNNNNNNNNNNNNNNNNNNNNNNNNNNNNNNNNNNNNNNNNNNNNNNNNNNNNNNNNNNNNNNNNNNNNNNNNNNNNNNNNNNNNNNNNNNNNNNNNNNNNNNNNNNNNNNNNNNNNNNNNNNNNNNNNNNNNNNNNNNNNNNNNNNNNNNNNNNNNNNNNNNNNNNNNNNNNNNNNNNNNNNNNNNNNNNNNNNNNNNNNNNNNNNNNNNNNNNNNNNNNNNNNNNNNNNNNNNNNNNNNNNNNNNNNNNNNNNNNNNNNNNNNNNNNNNNNNNNNNNNNNNNNNNNNNNNNNNNNNNNNNNNNNNNNNNNNNNNNNNNNNNNNNNNNNNNNNNNNNNNNNNNNNNNNNNNNNNNNNNNNNNNNNNNNNNNNNNNNNNNNNNNNNNNNNNNNNNNNNNNNNNNNNNNNNNNNNNNNNNNNNNNNNNNNNNNNNNNNNNNNNNNNNNNNNNNNNNNNNNNNNNNNNNNNNNNNNNNNNNNNNNNNNNNNNNNNNNNNNNNNNNNNNNNNNNNNNNNNNNNNNNNNNNNNNNNNNNNNNNNNNNNNNNNNNNNNNNNNAGAGCAAUGUCAAUGACACAAAUGUAUGAAGAUACACAUAUACAGUACCAUGUCAUUAACAAACUAAACCUACAAGGUAUAUCCUACCUUGUUCACAACUUUUCAUGUGCACUCAAACAUUCUAGGUUGGUUAUGAGUUAUGACCUUCCAUAAUAAUAAUGACUCGGAGCUAAUAACAAAAUCAAAGAUCCUGAGAGCUAUCUGACCCACAUAGAGUAAAAGCCAAAUAAUUUGCACAUACUCCAGCUGCACUCAACUUUUGAAAAACAAAUCUUUUUUCAUUUCAAAUCAUGAAAAUUUUGGCUAACUACUACCAACAUGAAUUCUUCAAUACUUCAUCUUUUUGCACUUUCUAGUUUAAUAGUGUCCUCCACACCAAUAAAAGAAUGGGUGGAAGUCAAAUAAGAGGAUUUAUCUAGUAGCUUUUUUCAUCUUUCUGUACCAGAGGUAUGGAUAAGCUUGACCGUAGUAAUAUCAUUGUUCAUCUAACCAAGCUACAAAUAACUCAUGUCCCAUCGAUGCCAAGAAAAGCUUAACAACAAUCAGAGGAAAUAAAUGGUAAUUCAUACUCUAACAAGAAUAAAACCAACAGAAGUUGUAAGUUGCACUUGUGAUUUUCAUGCUGCAAGUUUAAAGAUUGGACAUAGGAAAAUGUCACAAACAUAUCUGAUGAUUGAAUGUGCAGAAUCAAAGAGACUUACACUUUACUGAAGAUAAGCCUUCCCAUGUCUGCAGUGGAAAGACUGAAGGAAAGAUCAGAAGGAAAACAUAGAGUUAGAUAACUUCAUAACUCAGAAUGACUACAUACAUUAUUUAGGGGAUGAAACAACAUUAAACUUCAAUAUAAUUAAUUGCAGAAUCAAUAUUUUACUCCAUACAAAAAGCAUUUGAAUUUUCCAAGAAACGGUAGUUUCAAAGCUCCAACACUUGAAAAUGUGCUCUGAUUCUAUGCUAUAGAAGUCAUAUGGAAUUUUUCAUUGGAAAGACUGACCUACAAAGUCAACUUAUAUAAUAAAGAAAGUCAUGAAUGUACAUUACAAUGAAAUUGAGCAAAAUAAAGUGACCAAACAAGCACCAAAUUGAUCAAAAUAUAGAAAAUAGAUCAGUCCCAAGACCUGAUCAAUGGACUGGGCAUAACAAUAAUAGUUUGAAAUAUUGAAGCCACUAGCACACAAACAUGGAACAAAUGGAAAAUACCAAUCAAGUAUACUCCAAGUAUCAGACUCAACAAACAAAUCCUCUAAUUGAUAACUGGAUUAAGCAGGAAUAUUGUAUGGUAUGCUAUCAGCAAAAAUAACUACUAUUUUUUUUAAAGUUCACAAAGAAUACUCAUACAAUCCCUUUUUUACUCCAAAACCAGCAACUCCACAAAACCCAGCUCUUUGAUGCUAAAAAAUUCAUCUCCUUUAGGGAAAAAUUACUCAAUCUGAGACAUUCUUCACUCACAUAGCUGAUUUAAAGUAGCCAAUUUUUAUAUACAUCUAAAAUUACUUAAACAGACCAACAACAAUCCCUAACAAGUUCUAGAAACGAAACCGAAACCACCGAUCAAGCCAAAGAUUGUAUUUUUACAACAAAAUAAAUCAAAAUCAAAAUUAAAAAGAUCCCAAUUUCAAGAAAUCACAAUAACAGAGUGAUCAAACAGAAAAGAUGGAGGAAACCUUGGAAACAAUGUUUUCAGAAAGGGCAAGAUGAGUUCCACAGUGCUUGCAGCUGUAGAUCUUGCCUUCAAGAGUCAACACAAAUAAUCUCCGCAUCAAUGAUUUUUGAGAUCACAUGAAAAUGGAAGAACGAAAAUGGAAAAGGACUUAUCCAAAAAGGGGUAAUAGUUUUUGUUUCGGCUGGAAGAUAUUAAGUAACAUCAAGAAAGGGAAAGGAUUCAAUGUGUGAGGGACUCUUUGAAUAAUUUAAUGCUACUUGCUUUUGUCCUUUUUAGUCCAUUUAAAAAAUGGAAAAGAUAAAAAAUAUCCUUAAAUUAUGUGAAAUGAAUAAAAAUGUUAUUAUUUAUGAACAAAAUUAUCCUUGCAGUCAAUACUUUGGUACAAAUACCCUUAUCGUUGAUAAUUUGGUCCAAAAGUACCCUAGAGUUACUCGUAAGUUCUCAACAUGAGACGACGGACAAUCUUAAACACCCGGGAUGUUACAUCCUUUCCCCCUUAGGAACAUUCAUUCUCGAAAUAUGACAACACAUUAAUCAUCUUCUUUCUCAAACGAAGGUCUUGAGUAUUCAAACUGACAUAAUUUUACCUUUUUAUGUCACGACCCAAAUUAGGUCUAUGACCGGCGCUAAGGGGAAAGAAUCCCAAAGCAAGCCUUACCAUAAAUUUACAGAAAAUCGGGCAGAAUUUCCUUUAUUUUUGUGCCUAGCCUGAAUUUUUCCCGUCUCGGAAAUCCACAACACAAAUAAUAACAACUACAAACCAAAACCUAAUAUCCACUAAUGGUCUAACUUUGACGCAAUAAUACCAGUUAUAUCUCCAAAUAUGAAAAAGAAGUUCAAACUAGUCACUUGACUACAAUACGAAGAAAUACUCAUGACUCAAAGGAAAGAAUGACGAAUGGAGUGACUUUAAGAGUUUUUAAAGAACUAAAUAAACCAUAGCAAAUCAAUAGAUCUCUUGCCACGCGAAGCAAUGCGGGGCUCACCAGGUGUUACCGAAUCACACUCUCUAGCUAAUGAAAUCCUCUUUAAUACCACCUGAGUUCUCUGAAAAAACAAUUAGCGAGGAGUGAGACGCUAGCUCAGUGAGUAAUAAUACUUAACCACAACCAUUUUAAUAAGGGACAAGUCAGAAAACAUGCUAGUAUAAUAAUCAAAAUGAUGAAAUAAUGCCUUUUCAGAAAUCAUAAUAUUAUUCAAUCUUAUGUGCCUCAUAUAAGCAAAAUCAAUGUAAAUACUUAAUAGUAAACUCAAAAAAACAUUUCCAUAUCAAAUCUUAUAGCUGGGAGGUUUCCAAGGAUGAAUCAUGUAAUCAGUGUGGCUUUCUCUUUAAAAAGUAACCAAUAACAGUAAACUCCUCAUAAAGGAGUUAAAUAUUCAUAUCAGUAGGUCCCUACUCGAGGGAUAUCAGUAACAGUAUACUAGUUCUACCUUCCCACUAGCAAGGGCUUUAUUAGUAAUCAGAACUACAAGGUGCACCAGGUCUAACGAACCCGCCGUUAGCUACGGGAUUCAUCAAGGUCUACUCCCAUUUAUACUUUUCUUAUAAUCAGUAGAAGCAUUCGAAAAUCGAACAGAGCAUUUAAAUCUUAUCAAAUCAUAUCAUUUCAAAGUUUAACAAUCACCUGUCAAAAUACUAUUUCUCAAAUAAGUGUAAAACCUUUUCAAUAANNNNNNNNNNNNNNNNNNNNNNNNNNNNNNNNNNNNNNNNNNNNNNNNNNNNNNNNNNNNNNNNNNNNNNNNNNNNNNNNNNNNNNNNNNNNNNNNNNNNNNNNNNNNNNNNNNNNNNNNNNNNNNNNNNNNNNNNNNNNNNNNNNNNNNNNNNNNNNNNNNNNNNNNNNNNNNNNNNNNNNNNNNNNNNNNNNNNNNNNNNNNNNNNNNNNNNNNNNNNNNNNNNNNNNNNNNNNNNNUGUUGAAGUACCAAAUCUGUCACUUGGGCAAUCUGUAUGACUUCCUUCAAUCAAUCUAUAAUCACAUCAUAUCGGUCUCAUAAUACUUCAUUCGUUUAGGCUAAUUCAUACUAAAUUCAGAAUACCCAAUCUUCGAGGUUUUAUGAUAGACUCUCAAUCUAUCAAUUUAUAUCAAAUUGGUGCUUCAGAUCCCGCAAAACAGUCUCAUUGUUGAUUACUUCACCCUAUAAUAAACAGAACUAAUGGCACUGUCCAGCAAUUCUUCUUCGGUUUAUGCCGAACUACCAAAAGUUUGGCCCAAACAUUUAAUAUACUCACUCAAACCGUAAGAUAAUAAGAGUUUAACGGAUUCCUUUAUUCCUUCUAAACCCAUGUUUUUCAAACUCUCAGUUCUCAAAUUUAUAGUCAGGGAAUAUACAAAUUCAAUCUUUAAACUAAUUUAAGAUACUUACCUUGAAAUCCAUACUUGAAAUAGCAAGAGUUCCACUUCUUCUCCAUUUAGUUAUUUUUCUCUGUUUUAAUCGAUUUCAUGCUCCUUCACAGGAAGAGACUCCAAGAACGUACUCUCUCUUCCUUUUUUUUUCCAAGAGUUGCUGAUAAAACUCUUAACUCCAAUAAUUUCUUUAGCUUAAUUUAAUGUUUCCCUUAUUAGGUUUCUGAUGGGCUAAGGCCCAUUUGAUUUUUUUUGGGCUAAUGACUAAUAUGUCCUUGUUUAAAAUAUGGGAUAUUACAUUCUCCCCACCUUAAUAAAUUCGGGGCCGAAUUUAAGUCAUUUGUAACUCAGAAUAGGUGUGGAUACUUGACCUUUCAUAUCCUCUCCCAAUUCUCAAGUAGCUUCUUCAAUGGUAUGUUUUCCCCAUACGAUUUUCAUGGACACAAUUUAUUUUGACCAAAAUUUCUUCGUUGUCUGUCAACAGCGGCCAUUGAUUCCUCCUCAUAUGUUAAGUUAUCAUCCAGUUGUAUAGUUGGUGCUUCAAGCACACAAGAGGAGUUUAAUAUACAUUUUCUUAACAGAUGUAGAAAACUGAACAACCAAAAUGCAUCUCAAAAGAAGGUUUCAAAAGGUAGAACACUACUCUCACCUGGUCUAGAAAUUUUAUAUGGUCUUGCAAAUUUUGAGCUCAAAUUUGCUCUUCUUCUUCUUCUUUUCAAAUCACUUCACGCUAUUCCUUGAUGGACUCUUAGGAAGGUUUUGUCCCCAACUAUGUACUCUAAAUUUCCUUUCCUCUUUUAUGUAUAAACCUUUAACCUACUUGAAUUGCGAGCAACUUUUGUCUGACUAACUGAACGUUUUCCAAGCUUUCAAUACCAAGUCUGGUCCCAAUACAUUAAUGUCUCCAACAUCAGACUUUCUAAUAGGAGAAAGACGUCACCUAUCAUAAUUCUUCAUAUGGAUCCAUCUAUUGUGUAGUGUGAUUUUUUGUGAUAGGCAAUUUCAGCCAAUGCUAGAUAAGCAUCUCAACUACCUCCAAUUACAUUAAGAACGAAAGAUUUUAGAAUAUCCUCUAGAAAUGUAGUCAAGGUUUUCUGAAACAAAUUUCAAAAAUAUGUUGUACAUUGUGAUUUACCGUCCAAUAUAAACAAUAAUGGAACUUCAUAGAGUCAAAAAUUCCAUUCAAGCAUAUCUCUACUAUAUUCCUCCGUUAUAUCCCGAUUGAGUCGACUUACAACUAACCAUACAGAGUCGUAACCUCUAGGAGUUCAUGUUAAAUGGGUCACAAAAUCCAUGGUAACACUUUCAUAUUCACUCUAGAGAUCCCGAGUUGUUGUAUUGAUCUUAAGGGUCGUUGAUGCUCAACUUUAACAUGUUAACCAGUCAAACAACUAGAAACAAGGAUAGCAACAUUUUUUUUGUCCUAUCAAUAUAAUUCUCUAAGGAAAUAUUACUUCUUGGUGAUCCCGAACCUAUAGUGUAGUUAGAGUUAUGACUUCCUCAAGAAUAACCUGCCUUAAACCAUCUAUGUUAAAUGGGAAACCACAUAACAAUCAAAAGUCGUAUCCUUGUCCUUACCCGCUAGAAUCUCAUUUCGAUAUUCACAGAACUUCUCAUCCUCGUAUUAGUUGGCCUUGAUAUGUGUUACCAAUAAAGACUUGAGCUGAACAUAAGCAAAUAGUGUCUCUGAGUUUCUCACACUAAUUUGAUACUUGUAUCCCUGAGUAUGUGCAAAUUCUAGGCUAAAAGUCCUUUCACAUGAGCUAUUUUCCCUUGUAUAAAUAGCCACACUUAGGCAAUUUUCACCUGCCUCGUCCAGCCUGCCUGUCCUACAAAGAAGCCUGUUGUUAUAUUAUCUGGACUCUCCAAACACUUCCACUGCUUCACCAGCUAAAAGUCAUUUCACGUGAACAUUAUGUUCCAUAUAACCUAUGGAUUUCCUUUUCAAAGCAUCUAUCUAAACAACUUUGUUUCCCAGAUGACGUCGAAUAGUAAAAUUUGACAUAGACAGAGUAGUUUUGUCCAUCCGUGUAAAUUUAAGGAUCAAAUCUUCUUCUUUUUUUUAAACUUACAUCUCAGGUUCUUGCGAUUUGUAUAAUUCGCAUUGGUUUCAUUGUAUAAGAGUGCUUCCGAACUUUAGCGCAAAUACCAUUGUAACCACCUUCAAAUUAUGAGAGGGCGGUCCUGCUCAUGCUUAUCUAGAUAUCUCGAAGUAUAACUGUCACACGAUCUUUCUUAAUGAGAACACGUCAUAAUCCCACCCUCGAAACAUCACAGAGCAUCAUGAAUCCUCCAAAACUUGACAGGAAGGCUAACACUGUUGUGGUGAUCAAACAUAUAUAUUCUGAGCUUCUAAAAGCAUCUAUUCAUAUUCCUCUGUUUACUGAAACUUCAUCUUUUUUUUUUGUAGUUGGUAAUUAAGUGGAGUUGUAAUUUCUAGAGUAGUGUUAUUCCAAAGAAACUAUGCACAAAGCCUGUUAAAAUCAAGAAGUUGUUAUUCUCUGUAAGAGUAGUGGGCUUGUAUCAUUUCUGAACUACGUUUUCCAACUUAGGUGUCGCCAAAAUCCCAUCAUUAGAUACAACAUACCCAAGCAAUGCUAUUGAGUCUAGUCACAAUUGUACUUAGCAUUUACAUAGUGUCGAUGCCUCACAGUGUUUGUAACCAAUUCCUCCUCAUCUUUAUGUUUUUCUCGACUAUGAGAGUAUACAGAAAUAUCAUCUGCAAACACUAUUAAACAAUCUGUACAGAAUGUCUUGAACACCCUAUUUAUUAAGUCCACGAAUGCACAUUGAACAUUGACCAGUCCGAGAGAUAUCACAGGGAACUCAUAAUAUUUGCACUCAAAAUUGGAGGUGGUCUUAGAAAUAUCAUCUUUCUUUGAUUGUAAGUUGAUAAUAACCCAAACUGGGGAUUGAUUUUCCGACAAGAGGAUGACUCGUUGUAACCAAUUAUGUAUGAAAUCUAUUCCAGACAACUAGGAUUUAUUAUGUCGUUACUUGUUCAAAAGUAUGUAGUCGAAGCACACCAGUGAUACUUUCAGUCUGAUGAACCUUUAUUUAAUAUGACCUACAAUUAUUUACUUAUCUCUUCUGAACUCCCUCGGUGUCAUACGAUAUAGGGGCAUCAAAAGGGUUGCACUCCACACCAAGUCAACAGAAAAAUCUAUUUAUCGUGCUAGUAGGUCUUGGCAAAUCCACAAAAAUACAUCUUUAAAUUAUGUCACUACCAAUACCAUUUCUAAAUUAGAAUAAAUAUCUCCUCCCUCAUGCCCUUUAGUAAAUCUUGAACCCUCAUCAUGGUAUAACAUCACUACUUUCUAAAGCCUGAGAUUUCCUUCUCUCUCUCUUUUUUUUUUUCCAGUUUCAACCUAGCAUGAAUCCAUGGUUGCUCUUUUUAUAACUUCACAUGUUUUUCAAAAUGUGCUUAGCAAUGUCAACGACCUCAAAGUAGGUAAAGCAUUUGUGUGCGAGGUUACUGCGCAGUCUAAGAGGCUAACCAUCCUUUCAAAAAAAUCUCCAUUAGUUAAUAAAUAGGGAGCAUAUCUAGCUAAUUGAAUAAUCCUGAGUCAUAUCUUAGUUCCAACGAAUCAUUUUGAACAAAUUCCUUAAAAUUCCUUAUUAAGUUACUCAUUCUCAACUGUCUAGACAAAAACAAUCCAUAAUAACUUAGUGAAUCGCCUCAAGUCUUUGGUGUUGUCCUACUGGUAUUUUGAAUAGUACAUUAUUAUACCAAGUAAUUAACCACGUUCACCGUCUGUAUGCUACCAGAACUAUAACACUUGCUGAAACAUGCUCGAGCUUAUAAAGCUUUAAGUAUUUCACCCAAGAAUAUUUUCCAAGAACCUUUAAGGAUCUUUGAGUUGUUAGAAACUUGGAGGUUUUAUCUUUAGAAAUCUCUAGGCUACUUUUUUUUUUUUGAGACAAAUCUGAAUCCUUCUAGUUGCCUGGAGCUGCUCUUGGGCUAUAUUUUGUUGCCUGAAUCUAUUCGCUCUGUCAAUUAAUAUAUCUUGCUCGGUAUAGGAAGAUACGUGUCCUAACAGUAACACUCUCAUGUUGUUAAAGUGCAGAGUAGUACUCUUUUCAGAAAAAAACUAUAUUACCUAUCACAUAGGUGCACGAAGAAUUCCUCACAAUGACAUAACCCCCUCUUUCUUGGCUUUUCCAACCAUUUGUUUGUUCCCCUUAUUGGGAGAGACGGUUGUUUACAAAGGUGACCCUUAAUGUCUCCAGACCUUUGGACUAUUCUUGUUAUUGGACGACUAAGUUCAAGAUAUGUGAUAGGAAGAUAAACAAUAUUAGAUUCAUCUAGUAGACCCUAUUAGUCACACAAAAAGAGGAAUGAGAAAGAAAGACAGACACAUCGUUUUAUGAUAGACUCUCAAUCUGUCAAUUUAUAUCAAAUUGGUGCUUCAGAUCCCGCAAAACAGUCUCAUUGUUGAUUACUUCACCCUAUAAUAAGCAAAACUAAUGUAACUUUGUCACCACCCAAAUUAGGUCUGUGACCGGCGCUAAGGGGAAAGAAUCCCAAAGCAAGCCUUACCAUAUAUUUACAGAAAAUCGGGCAGAGUUUCCUUUAUUCCUUCUAAGCCCAUGUUUUUCAAACUCUCAGUUCUCAAAUUUAUAGUCAGGGAAUAUACAAAUUCAAUCUUUAAACUAAGUUAAGAUACUUACCUUGAAAUCCAUACUUGAAAUAGCAAGAGUUCCACUUCUUCUCCAUUUAGUUAUUUUUCUCUGCUUUAAUCGAUUCCAUGCUCCUUCACAGGAAGAGACUCUAAGAACGUACUCUUUCUUCCUUCUUUUUUCCAAGAGUUGCUGACAAAACUCUUAACUCCAAUAAUUUAUUUAGCUUAAUUUAAUUUUUCCCUUAUUAGGUUUCUAAUGGGCUAAGGCCCAUUUGAUUUUUUCUUGGCUAAUGACUAAUAUGUCGUUGUUUAAAAUAUGGGAUAUUACAUUUUAGAAGGUCUAAUCAAUUAUAUACAGAUGACUUUAUCAAAUCAUAAGCAUGCAUGAUCAUAACGAAGUUGCGAAGUUUUGCUAUAGAGGUCGGAAAACAGUAACUCACGUUUUUAUGUUAGCUUUCGUCCGUACUUAGUCAUAAUGUAAAAUAUUUGACCAAAGAAUCCCAUAGGAGAUUUUUCAAAGAUUUGGGGUUUUUCUCUGGUAAGGUAAGUGCUUUCCGUUCAUUCAUUUCUUCCAUAAUUCGGUUUCCUCCCAGAAUUGAUAGGUAUGUCCAUAGGAUUUUAUGCAUAGAAACCUAGGGUUAUUAUUUUGAUGGCACAACAUGUGGGGCAGGUUAAUUAUGAAUGAUUUUCAAUUCUAGUCCGUUAAAGUUUGUCUUCUAGUAUAGAAUUAUGAACCUAGCCUUAAUUAUGAAUUUGGGGAACCUAGAAACCCCAUAAAAUUGAUUCUUUGGGUAUAUGAACUGCUCAACAGAAGUUAAUGAGGUUGAAAUAGUGAUCUCGUUAUUACAAAGAAAGUGUCCGCUAUAGUGAAACACUAGCAAAUUUUCAUACUCGAUUUUCCAUUUCUAGAUUUCUACCAACUCUUGACCCACGGAGAUCUACACAAGGGUACUAUAGCCCUAAACAACUAUAAUGACAGAAUAGGUCAUUACACAUCUGCUGAAUAAUCUUAAUUAUAGCCAAAUAGUUGUUAUCUAUAAGGCGAGGCUCAUGUUAGUGGGCCCUUCUAUUAUUUUUUUUAAAACAUCAGUUUAAAUUUUUAAAAAGGGGUCCUUUUAAAUUAUUAUAAAGAGUAUGUUUCAGUUCCCUAUACUGCAAUUAAUGGGAAGUCACAGAGUUUCUAAAAGACCAAAAAAAAAAAAGAAGAAGAUGAAGAAUUAUAAGAAGACAAGAGGACUUGAAGGCUUGAAGCACAAAAAAAAACAAUCAGAUCUGAUUCUUCUUCCGCUGGCUGAACAAGCAGCAAGCAAAUAUAGGUAUCUUCUUUCUCUUAUUUCUUCUUACUUUUUUACUGAUUUCAUCAAUUGUUGAUGCUGAACAUUCAAUAGUUCAUACUCCUUUUUAUCUUUGUAGAAAAUUUAAAACUAAAUGAAAAUAUGGGACACUUGUCCUUGUUUAAUGACUUAUGGUGUCUUUAAUUUAAUAAUGAUCAAUGAAAAUUUAACACAUGUAAUAGGAUAAGAACAAAGCUAAUUUUCUUAGAAGCCAUAUAGCCAUAGUGGUGGACAUGUGGACCCCAUAUAUAUGUAGUUGUUGACUUGUUGUAUUUCAUUAUUUGCUGAGUUAUAAUUGCAUGCAAAGUUCUUUAUACAUUUUUUUUUUGUUUCAGCUUAAAAAUAACAAAGAACCUGUGUCCCUUUUUUUUGUUUUUGUUGUGUAUUAUUAUUUAUUAUUUAGAAAUUAUAACUGCUAUAUUAUAACUUCUUCUUUUUUCAGAAGUAGAAAUGGCAGAGGACUUGUCUAAAGGCAAUAGAAGGGAUCCUGGUUGGAAAUAUAACUACUUGAAGGACCCCGAUGACACUACAAGAGUCACGUGCAAUUUUUGUGGAAAAACAACCACGGGUGGAAUUAAUUGGGCAAAACAACAUUUGAUUGGAAAUUUUAGGAAUGCAGCGAAGUGUAAAAAAUGCCCAGAGGAGGUUAGAGAGGAACUGAAAAAUUACAUGGAGGAGAAAAAAAUAAGAAAGGAAGUCUAUACUAACGAGUUUCCCGAAUUUGAUGAGUUUGAAUAUCAAGACAAUGUUGGUGGAGAAGAUGAAGUCCAAGAGAUCAAUCAUAAGAAAAGAGGCGGAGGAAGCUUUCCUAGUGGCUCUAAUAAGAAACUGGCCAAAGGAAAGGGACCUAUGGAUAUGUUUCUACAAAAGCGUGGAACACUUAGGCAAACAAAUAUCAAAGACUCGUGUGAUAAAGAAGCAAGAGCAAUGACGAUUCAAAAAGUAGCUCGCUUCUUUUAUGAUAAUGGGAUCCCAUUCAAUGUAGCUCGCUCAAAAAGUUUUAAGGAAGCAAUUGAGGCUGUAGGAAGGUAUGGUCCAAACUUGAAGCCUCCAAGCUACCAUGAAUUAAGAGUUCCAUUACUUAGGAAGGAAGUUGAGUUGACCAAUGAGAUUAUAAACAGACAUAGAGAAGAAUGGGUGAAGUAUGGAACUUCCAUUAUGGCAGAUGGUUGGACAGAUAAAAAACAGAGAACUCUGAUAAACUUUUUGGUGAAUUCUCCACAUGGAACAAUGUUCAUUGAGUCGAUAGAUGCUUCCUCACUUGUUAAGACCGGAGAGAAGUUAUGUGAAUUGCUAGAUAGAUAUGUGGAACGCGUUGGAGAACAGAAUGUGGUUCAAAUUGUAAGUGAUAAUGGUAGCAACUUUGUGUUGGCUGGUAAGAAUUUAUUGCUUUAAAAAUCUAAGUUUUAUGUUUUACUUUCUAAUAUCGAUCAAAGUUUUGAUUUCUAAAUUUUAACAUAUCUAUUUACCCUUUUUUUCUAUAGGUCAACUGUUACAGAGAAAAAGACCACACAUAUUUUGGACGCCAUGUGCAGCUCAUUGUAUAGAUCUUAUGUUAGAAGACAUAGGGAAGAUUCCUAUCAUCAAGAAGACCCUCCAAAAAGCAAUUGCCCUUGUCAGUUUCAUUUAUGGACACUCAGGAGUCUUAAAUAUGAUGAGACAUUUCACUAAAAAUAAAGAGUUGGUGAAAUGUGGAAUUACUCGAUUUGCAACGAGUUUUCUGACUUUGCAACGGUUGCAUUGUCAAAAAACAAAUCUGCGAGCAAUGUUUACAUCUGACAAAUGGGUGAUUAGUAGGUGGGCUAAGUUACCAAGGGGGAAAAGUGCAACACAUAUUGUCUUGACGGCAACAUUCUGGAGUCAGGUUUCUAAUAUUUUGAAGAUAAUGGGGCCUCUUGUUAAAGUGUUGCGAUUAGCUGAUAAUGAGAAAAAACCUGCCAUGGGGUACAUUUAUGAAGCCGUGGAUAGAGCUAAGGAGGCUAUUGCAAAGGCAUUUGAAGGGAAUGCUGCAAAAUAUAAAGAUAUCUUUAAGAUUAUUGAUGAAAGAUGGCAAUGCCAAUUGCAUCAUCCAUUACAUGCUGCUGGACAUUAUUUAAAUCCAGAGUUCUUCUUUCAAAAUCCAGGUAUUGAGAAUUGUCAAGAAGUAACAGAUGGGUUGUAUGCUUGUAUUGAAAAAUUGGUUCCAAGCACUGAAGUACAAGACAAGAUCAUAUCAGAGAUACCAUUGUACACAAGAUUGAACAACAAUUUGGCCUUCCUAUUGCAAAAAGAGCUAGAACGAAAAGAUCUCCUGGUAAGUGAAUACAAUAACAUUAAAAUUAUUAAUUAUUUAGUUUAUGUUUAAAAGUUUACUUAAUACUUCUUACUUAGGUAAUAACUUAUACAUAAUGAUGUCUACAUAACACUUUUUACAGUUGAAUGGAAUUUAUAUGGUAAUUCAGCUCCCAAUCUCCAAAAAUUAGCCAUUAGAAUUUUGGGUUUAACAGCUAGUUCUGCUGGAUGUGAGUGUAACUGGAGUGUGUUUGAGCAUGUAAGUACUAAGUGCUCGCAUCAUAUUUAUUAAUUUUUCUUUGCAUAGUUAAUCAAUUAGACUAAUUUACUAACACUAACCAAUGCAACAGAUCCAUACCAAAAAAAGAAACAGAUUGGAGCAUCAAAGAUUGAAUGAUCUAGUGUUUGUUAAGUAUAAUCGUGCUUUAAAAGCUCGUUAUGACUUGCGGAGUGUCAUUGAUCCAAUCUCGUUGGAUAACAUUGAUCAUAGUAAUGAAUGGUUGGUUGGGAAGAUGGGUAUUAAUAUGGAAGCAGAAGAUGAAUUGGUGUUUGGUGAUGACAACUUAACUUGGGGUGAUGUUUCAAGAGCGUCGGGCAGUGAGGAUGUGUUGGCAUACACAAGGCGACAAAAGAGACAGUCGGAAGUUAUUACAACUAAUGCCUCAAGUUCCCGAGCUCCACGUGUUGACAUAGAAGAUGAGGUUGAUUCAGAUGAGUCGGGGGAAGAAGAGAUUGAAGGCUAUAAAUCUAGUGAUACUGAUACCAAUGAGAAUCACCCUAUUGAGGAAGAUGAUAUGGAAGUAAUAUUAUUCUAGUGAUUAGAAAGAAGUAGAAUAUAUAAGCAACAUAUGUUUUUGAUAAACCAAUCUUCAUUAUAAGCACUAUAUAUUUACUAUUUUUGUGUCUAUUAUGUUCUAUAGUAUAUAUAUAUUUUAAAAAUCUUCAUAGUGCGCUUUUUUUAGUGAAGCCCACGCUUUUAGUGCGCUUUGCGCUUUAAGCUCUAUCAGGGCUUUAGCGCUUUUUUGCGCUUUUCGCUUUUGACAACACUGCACCAUACCAGACCUGUUUUACUCCUGUGAACUCUACCAAGUUUUGAUGUGAUGAUGGGGGUAAGGUGCGGUGUAGUGUAUUAGAUGUUUCCUCACUGCCGAUUUUUUAAGCUUUUGUUGUUGCCAGAACUAUGUAGUCAUUCAGGGAGGAUAUGGGAUGGUUAUGAAAAGGGGAAAGUAGACGGCAAAUCAAUUUAUAGUCUUGGUUUUAUUUCAAAAAUUCAUGUCCAGACUACUUGCUUGACUAAUACCUGCAUAACUAAUACCCGCAUAAGUAAUACCUGCAUAACUAAACCCUACAUAAGUAAUACGUGCAUAACUAAUACCCGCAUAACUCUAUCCAGCUACCAAACAACUAUGGAAAGAUCGAAGCAAUGAAAGCAGAGUGGUUGCUACUAGUAAUGUCUUGUCAUUGCAAACAAAUAAAGGCAGAUGGUCAUGUUAGUUUGCCACAACCCAUGGCUGCUUCCAUAUUAUCAUUACACAAUAGAGGACAAGCUUAAAGAAGUUGUAGUAGCUUAAGCUAUUAAAGAAUCCAAUGGUUCAUAAAGAACUAAUGGGGUGGUGGGUUAAAGAAUGUACAUUUUGGGAAUUUUUGUUCUGGAUGGUGAUCAAACACCUUCAGCAUCACUUCCUGCAACAUGAGUAUCAUGACUAGCCCAGUAAUGGCUUCCAUCAGGGCCACAAAUCUUAAACCUGUUGAGUAUAAAAGAAAGUACCUCAGUGAGGACUUAUGAUAUGUUCCUAACUCAAUUCUAAAGAAAACUGAAGUAAUCAACUGACCGCUCAAGCACUGAUUUUCCUUCUUUGUACUUUUGGCUCUUCUCAUGGGCGGUCUCCUGAAAAGAAUUGCUAUAUUAGGAACAACUAAAACUUCUAGCAACUGCCAAACGACAAUGUCUAGCAUUUUAUCACUCCAUACUCACAUAUUUCCAUCCAACAAUUGACCCACAACAGACGCAGAAAAUGUCUGCCACAGUGUGCAUACCAGUCAUCAUCAUUCUAUUUUCUAUCUCGCCAGAAGUGACAUUCGCCCUGUCAAAAGAAACAAAAAAGGAGUAUAGAAUAUACAGAACUACAAAGAAAAAAAGGCGUAUAGAAUAUACAGAACUACAAAGUGCAUUAUCAUUUUGUAUGUUUCUACUAAAUGAUAAAAUGAAAUGAAGAGAUUUGAGAAGAGCAGAACUCUUGAACAGGAAAGCAAUCAAGUUGAGCAUAAUAUAUGUAUUUCAGCCAUGUAACUAUUGUAAUGCUGCUACCAAGUGGAAAAUAACCCAAGUCAAGUAAGAAUUUAUUCCAUAUAUUGAUGUGUUAAUAUUUGUACUCCUGGAAAAUACACUCAAAAGUACACGAUAUAAUAGUCUGGUAAAAUCCCCACUAGGUUCUAUAGUGAUUCCAAUAGAUCAAAUUCUGGUGCUAAUUUUAUAGUCAAUGACACAAAUGUAUGAAGAUAUACAUAUAAAGUACCAUGUCUUUAACAAACUAAACCUAAAAGGUAUAGCCUACCUUGUUCAACUUUUCAUGUGCACUCAAACAUUCUAGGUUGGUUAUGAGUUAUGACCUUCCAUAAUAAUAAUGACUCAGAGCUAAUAACAAAAUCAAAGAUCCUGAGGGCAAUGUCAAUGAAACAAAUGUAUGAAGAUAUAAAUAUACAGUACCAUGCCUUUAACAAACUGAACCUACAGGGUAUAGCCUGCCUUGUACACAACUUUUCAUGUGCUCUCAAAUAUUCUAGGUUGGUUGUGACCUUCCAUAAUAAUAAUGACUCGGAGCUAAUAACAAAAUCAAAGAUCCUGAGGGCAAUGUCAAUGAAACAAAUGUAUGAAGAUAUAAAUAUACAGUACCAUGCCUUUAACAAACUGAACCUACAGGGUAUAGCCUGCCUUGUACACAACUUUUCAUGUGCUCUCAAAUAUUCUAGGUUGGUUGUGACCUUCCAUAAUAAUAAUGACUCGGAGCUAAUAACAAAAUCAAAGAUCCUGAGGGCAAUGUCAAUGAAACAAAUGUAUGAAGAUAUAAAUAUACAGUACCAUGCCUUUAACAAACUGAACCUACAGGGUAUAGCCUGCCUUGUACACAACUUUUCAUGUGCUCUCAAAUAUUCUAGGUUGGUUGUGACCUUCCAUAAUAAUAAUGACUCGGAGCUAAUAACAAAAUCAAAGAUCCUGAGAGCUAUCUGACCCACAUAGAGUAAAAGCCAAAUAAUUUGCACAUACUCCAGUUGCACUCAACUUUUGAAAAACAAAUCUUUUUUCAUGAAAAUCAUGAAAAUUUUGGCUAACUACUACCAACAUGAAUUCUUCAAUACUUCAUCUUUUUUCACUUUUUAGUUUAACAGUGUCCUCCACACCAAUAAAAAAAGGGGUGGAAGUCAAAUAAGAGGAUUUAUAUGGUAGCUUUUUUCAUCUUUCUGUACCAGAGGUAUGGAUAAGCUUGACCGUAGUAAUAUCAUUGUUCAUCUAACCAAGCUACAAAUGACUCAUGUCCCAUCGAUGCCAAGAAAAGCUUAACAACAAUCAGAGGAAAUAAAUGGUACUUCAUACUCUAACAAGAAUAAAACCAACAGAAGUUGUAAGUUGCACUUGUGAUUUUCAUGCUGCAAGUUUAAAGAUUGGACAUGUGAAAAUGUCACAAACAUAUCUGAUGAUUGAAUGUGCAGAAUCAAAGAGACUUACACUUUACUGAAGAGAUAAGCCUUCCCAUGUCUGCAGUGGAAAGACUGAAGGAAAGAUCAGAAGGAAAACAUAGAGUUAGAUAACUUCAUAACUCAGAAUGACUACAUACAUUAUUUAGGGGAUGAAACAACAUUAAACUUCAAUAUAAUUAAUUGCAGAAUCAAUAUUUUACUCCAUAAAAAAGCAUUUGAAUUUUCUAAGAAACAUUAGUUUCAAAGCACCAACACUUGAAAAUGUGCUCUGAUUCUAUGCUAUAGAAGUCAUAUUGAAUUUUUCAUAGGACAGACUGACCUACAAAGUCAACUUAUAUAAUAAAGAAAGUCAUGAAUGCACAUUACAAUGAAAUUGACCAAAAUAAAGUGACUAAACAAGCACCAAAUUGAUCAAAAUAUAGAAAAUAGAGCACACAGACAUGGAACAAAUGGAAAAUGCCAAUCAAGUAUACUCCAAGUAUCAGACUCAACAAACAACUCCUCUAAUUCAUAACUGGAUUAAGCAGGAAUAUUGUAUGGUAUGUUAUCAGCAAUAAUAACUACUAUUUUUUAAAAAGUUCACAAAGAAUGCUCAUACAAUCCCUUUUACUCCAAAACCAGCAACUCCACAAAACCCAGCUCUUUGAUGCUAAAAAAUACAUCUCCUUUAGGGCAAAAUUACUCAAUCUGAGACCUUCUUCACUCACAUAGCUGAUUUAAAGUAGCCAAUUUUUAUAUACAUCUAAAAUUACUUAAAAAGACCAACAACAAUCCCUAACAAGUUUUAUAAACGAAACCGAAACCACCGAUCAAGCCAAAGAUUGUAUUUUUACAACGAAAUAAAUCUAAAUCAAAAUUUAAAAAAUCUCAAUUUCAAGAAAUCACAAUAACAGAAUGAUCAAACAGAAAUGAUGGAGGAAAACCUUGGAAACAAUGUUUUCAGAAAGGGCAAGAUGAGUUCCACAGUGCUUGCAGCUGUAGAUCUUGCCUUCAAGAGUCAACACAAAUAAUCUCCCCAUCAAAGAUUUUUGAGAUCACAAGAAAAUUGAAGAACGAAAAUGGAAAAGGACUUAUCCAAAAAGGGGUAAUAGUUUUUGUUUCGGCUGGAAGAUAGUAAGUAACGUCAAGGAAGGGAAAGGAUUCAAUGUGUGGGGGACUCUUUGAAUAAUUUAAUGUUUUGUUAAAGAACUUUAUUCUUGUUUUCUUUCUUUUAUAAUUACUUUAAGUAAUAAAAAUGUAGAAAAUAAUUUUUUCUUCUUACUCUCAUUUUAUUAAUUAAAAUAGAAUAAUUUCAUAUCUCUUUUAACGGAUAAUGUAUGUCAUAAUAUAUGUCAUAUUUAUAAGAUUAUAGUAAAUACACGAUUAAUUUUUAUUUAUAUAAGGAUAAAAUAAUUAUAAUAAGAUAGGAAUUUUCUUGUUUUUUUCCGAAUUGAAGUAGGAUUAAUAUCUGUUAAUUAAAAAAUAUUAUUAGAAAAAGAAUGUGUUAAAAAGAAAAUAAAUAAUAUAAUUAUUUGAAAAGGGUUUUUGACCUAUUAAGUAACAAUAAAGAUAUUUUUCGAUCAAAGUAUUAACUGCAAAACAUUUUUAGGCCAAACCAUAAAUGGAAGAUAUUUUUGUUCAUUUCACAUAGUUUAAGGACAUUUUUAACCCUUUUUCGUUUGGAAGAUAUUUUUUAGAGUAAAUUUUAGAUUUAGCAAACAUAAAAAACAUAUUAGCGCUCUAUAGCUACAGUUUUGUUAUUUGAGAUCCAUAGCAAAAUGGAGCAUCAAAUUUGUAUAAAUCACAGGCGAGCACCUUGUUUGUAUGAAACAACAGCAAUUGUAUAUGUAUAUCGGUUAGAUAAUUGUAUAUAUGUAACUACUAUGUAUAUGUAUUAAUGAUUGUGUUUGUAUAUCUGCAUAAAAUUUGAAUUUGUAUACAAUUGAAUCGAAAUAAAACAUUUGUAUAUCAAAUCUCUCUCUCGUUUUAUACAACACAAACUAUACAUUAUAAUUUGUAUAAUUUGUGUUUGUAUAAAACAAGAAAGAGAGAAAGGCAAAAAAGAACUGGUAGGGGAAGAUCUGCAUUUGUAUAAUUAUAAGUGUAUAGAACGAAAUAUAUGUAUUUGUAUAUACUAUUUUUCUACUCGCUUAGUACUUCCUCAGUGUAUUUGGUUCCCUCAAGAUCUUCUUGCUGUUGUGAGCAACAAAUGAUAGGUGUCCUUCUUUUGCCUUAUGUCUGGUGAUCAUAUGAUGCCCUUGUGGUGCAAGAUGUACAUCAACUGAAGUAGUUGAUUGUAGUGUAGUAUCUUUAUGUUGAUGAUGAGUAAGCAUAUUCCACUUGGAGAAGCCAACUUCUAAAUGUAUUCUUUGUGAAUUAGACACAGAGAAAGUGGGAUUUGAUAAAUCACCAUUGACUAGACCUGCAUGUUCAACAUGUUCCCUACUGCCACUAGCAGAUCCUAAAUCUGCAAUUGGAGCCUUAUCAAUCUAGGUUUCAUUACCUAUGUGUGUAUCAUCACUUUGACCUAUUUCUCAUGAUCAUCAUUUGAUCCUUCAACUGAGGAGUCAAUAACACUCUCAUCAUCAAUGAGUAUAUGGGUUAUUGUAGUAGCAUUUUCACCAGUAACUUGUGUACUAUCAGUUGUACUUACCAUGAAUUAUGAUUAUCAUGUGCUUACAAUUUAGAGCAAGAUUCAACAAAAGUAGCAUAGGUGAGAUAUCAAUGUUAGUCUGAGAUUGAUUUGGAGACACAUAGGGUAAUGGGUUUUUAUCAAACACAUGUCUGGAUACAUACAACCUCCUUGUAGGGGGAUGAUAACAUUUAUAUCCUUUGUGUAAGCUGUUGUACCCUAUGAAUACACAAGGGUAAGUCUUUGGACUGAAUUUGUUGCUACCCUUGAUAUAUGAAAAACAUCUACACCUAAACACUUUUAGGCUAUUGUAAUCAGGUUUCUCUCCAAACAACGUAGCAAAUGAAGUCAUUAUUUUUAGGAAUGAGGAGGGCAAUCUAAUAAUGAGGAACAUUGUAGUGAGGUAAGUCUUAACUCAUAGAAACAAAGGUAGGUUAGCAUGAAGUAGUAGAGUUAAGACAGACUCCACAAUAUGCCUAUGUUUUCUUUCUGAAACUCCAUUUUGUUCAGGUGUGUUAGGACAUGAAAUAUGCCUCACAAUGCUACAAUCUUCCAAAUACUUGAUGAAGUCUGUUUUUGAUAAACUCACCACCUCCAUCACACUGAAAUAUCUUAAUUUCCUUAGAAAAUUAUUUUUUCACCAUCUUCUCGAAUUUUACAAAGACUUCAAAAUAUUCAGAUAUCAUUUUCGAUAGAUAAAUCCAUCUAUAUCUUAUGUGAUCAUCUAUGAAACCAACAAAAUAUUUCAUAUGUUGAGAAGAUUCAACGAGAGCAGGUCCCCACAAGUCAUAAUGAAUUUUCGAUAAAGGUUCCUUCUCAAUUUAAUUUCCCAAACCAAAUGAAAGUUUACAACUCUUGCCCAACUGGCAACUAGAACAAACAGUAGAUAUUUUAUUCCAACUACUAACAUAGAUGUAGUUAUUACUACUCAAAACUUUUAAAGAUUUCAAAUUAGCUUGUCCUAAUCUAAUAUGCCACAUGUUGUUUGAUGUGUUCCAAUCAUGUGCAACAGUUUAACAAAGAGACUGUUAUCUUCCAAAGCAUAGAGUACAUAUCCCUUGACCAGUAGUGACCUUGUCUUCUUGUCCUUUACAACAAAGUUAGUUUCAUCAAAUUCAAAAGUGCAACAAUUAUCCUUUCCAAGUUUACUAAUUGAUAGUAGAUUUUUAUUUAUCUUAGGAACUACAAGAACUUCUCUUAACUUUAGGCAUGAUCUUGGUAUGUUCUCAACAUGUGUUAUGUCUAACUUUGAUCCAUUCCCAAUAAUGAUUUUAUCUGGUCCAUUAUAGUGUUUAAGACCAGUUUGAAUACUUGAGUUAUAUGUCAUAUGACUACUUGCUCUUGAGUCCACAUACAAGGUGUCAUUGGUAGUGUUUUGUAGACUAAUAGCAGUUAAUGCUUGUGGUAGCUUAUCUGCAGCUUGGCAAGAGUAGUCCCACAUAUAGAAACACUUAAGAGUAGUAUGGUUAUUCCUACCACAAAUUUUGCACUAGUCAAUAUUGUUUCCCUCUUGACUUUCACUUGAAGGACUGUUCUGAGAACCUGGUCCAUAUCUGUUAUAAGAACUUGUUCCUUAUCCAGCAGGCUUAAAGCUUUUUCCUCUGAAAUUGAAGUUAUUAUUUUCUCUUCUUUGAGAGUAGUUUCCUCUUCCCCCUGCCCCUUUGGGCAGAGAAUGCCACGUUAUGAUUUUGUUGUGGCACUUCUUUUCCAUCCUCCCUCAUAUCAAAAUCCCUGAGAGCAUUAACAAAUUGAUUAAGAGUGAGAUAUGGUGUCUUACCUAGCAUGAAAGUCUUGAAGGUCUUGUACUUGAGACCUAAACUUCUAGCAAAAUUAAUUACUUUUUUAUCUUCAUACAUAGGCUUGUGAAUGGUUGUAAGGCCAUCACAUAUGCCUUUGAAUUCCUUAAUAUAUUAAUCAAUCUUUUUGGUUCCUAACCUAACACUUUGCAGUUGUUGUUUGAGCUGGAACUCCUUAUCUUUCGUUGCUUCAAGAUAAGAUUCUUCCGAGCAUUCUCACAUCUCCUUGGCAGUUGAGCAACCUACAAUCAGGUACAUGCUUUCUUUUGUUAAGGAGUCUAAGAUCCAACUUUUUAGCAACACAUCCUUAUUUUCCCAAUCAUCAAUAUUGUUGUUGUCUUCUGCAUCCUUCUCAACUGCUACAACUUUCUCAAUAGUAUGUCCAAUGGAAUAGGUACUUUUAGUUGGUUCAUUCUUUGUGAUGAGAUAGGUUAAUCUCAUCACUUGAAUCAACUGAGACAUUUGUGUUCUCCAUAUAAGAUAAUUUGUUGGCUUGAGUUUAAUGGAACAAGACGCAAUAAGAUGGUGAAGUGAGGAGGUUGAUAGGGUGUUGGUAGAAGAGGCUAUUGCAAUUUGAUAUUGUGGUUAUUCUACUUUUUGGAUCUAACACGUUAAAGAGCAAAAUAUUUUAAUGCUCUGAUACCAUGUAGAAUUCUUACGUAAAGCAUAGAGAAAUCAAGGAUUGUGUUGAUAAUUAAAAUUGUUGAGUACAUGCUCCUAAUAUAGGAGAAAAGCCCUACACUAGCUACACUAGGAGUCCUACUACAAUACAAAUAUAUUAUUUACAUGAAUAAUAUUACUACUAUAACUAAAACACCUUAUCCUAGUUGACUUUAGCCCCAUACACAAUACAUCAGCUUAGUCAUACAUAAGUUAGGAUUUAGUAGUCUAGUCUUAGUGUGACUUUAACUCUACAGCAGUAAACACGUUAGUCUGCUUCCUUAAACCUAUUUCUUUGACAUGUUCCAAUCAUUAACUUCCUUCAUCUUCAACAUAUUACACCAACAUUCCCUAUUAUUGUUCGAUUCUAUGAGAUAUACUCCGAGACAAUUAAAAUUAUUUCUUAUCUUCUCAUUUUUAUUAUGUAGUAUCUCUUUUUCUAAUUUAAAAAAAAGUAUGGUCAUUGACCAUUUUUAUUAAAUAAAAGGAGUUAUUAUGAUAUAAACAACUUACAAUUUUCUAAAGCAUCAAGCAUGCACUGAACGGCUAAAGUGAAAAUAUAAAGUAUUUCGAGAAGUCAAACCUUUUAUUUUGUGACGAUAUCAGUUGUGUAAGUCUUUCUUUUUUUUGUAUAGACAUAAUAAAGUUCUUGUUGUGGAACGUUAGUUCAACAUAUGGUGUGAAAAUUUACUCGAAAAUAUUCAAUGAUGUCAGAAAAAUUGGUCAAUUAUGAAGUCAGCUCAAUGCGCUUUGAUCUUCUUAUUCUUUUUUUGUUAGGGACAGAUAUUCUCUUGUUUAUAAGCGAAUAAUCAAAAGGACGAACACGACUAAUAAAACUUGUACUUUAUGCUGGAGAUAUAGUGGGACAAACAAGGGUAAUUCAAUCAUCAUAAAUUUACUUUAUUGUAAUGUACGUGUCUCUCCAAAUGACUGUAGAACUUCCACUGCUUUUCUAUUCCCAUUCCAUCAAAGCAACAAGCAGAAGAGUAAUUUCAUUUCUCACAAUAUCAUCUAAACCCUUUCUCAACAAGCUCUUCUCUCAACUCUCAAGAAUCUGCAUCUCAGCCUCUUGCAGCUCCAUCUAUGUGAAACUGGUGGAUUUUCCCCCUUCUUUUCCGAUCUCUUUUUCCCCUUUUUCCUGUUGUUACUUUCAUAGUUUUUAUGUUUUUAUUGUGGCUAGAUUUUUGUUUUUAUGGUAAGUUCUUCUCCCUUCUUCCUUUUUUCCCCUACUAAUCUGAAUGUAUAAAUAUAGAAAUAAGAAAUAAAUUGAUGCAAUAAAUUGGUUCAAUUUUAAAGAAUAACAAAGACAUAUUUUGUAAUUUGUAUCUGACAAAUAUAGAUGCAAUAAAUUUUUAAUUUGAAUGUAUAAUACUUGCAUGUGGAUAUUCGAGAACUUUUAACCAAGUUCUCAGCUUCUGCUCAUUUUUCAAUCAAUCGUGUGUUCAAAGUUCUGAGUGCGCUUUGGUUUUAUAGGUUUCAUCAUUGCUCAAAUUAAAUUCUUCUUUUCUCCUUUUUAUUUCUUAGUUUGAGUUACAUGUCAAUAUUUUCCUUUGCCUCUACUGUAUCGAGAGUGUUUGAUAGUAUGCCUACAUUAACUUUUUCCCUUUCAAUAGAAAUUUCUAAUCAAAAUUUAUGUUUAUUGCACUUGGGAAAUUUUGAUCUUCUCUGUUUAAAAGUUUGUCCUUUCUUUUUUCUUAUUUGUUGGUGAAAUCUUUCGCAACUUAUUGUGCCUCUUUUGUUGUUAAUCACCUUUUUGUGGGUAAAACUUUUUGCAAUCCAGCUCCAUAUUGGUAUGUGGGUUACAAUUAUGUUGCAUGUAUUGAUUAAGAAUUUCUCUUCACUAUUUGUCCGUCACCUUUUCCUCCUUUUGAGAUGCCAUCCUUUUCAAUUUCAAGUAAAUACGUUAUGAUUUUUGAUACGCUCAAAUUACACCUCCUUUCAGAAGCAUAAGCGAUCGUUAUCAAGUAAAGAACCCAACUUGUAGGUUGGGAUCGAUCCCACGAGGAAAAUGGUUUAGACUUUACUUUUAACCAACAAUUAUAUUCAAUUAGUCAAAUUAUUUCCAGAAACAGGUAAUAAAAAAGGGGGGUUGUGCUUGUGUAAAACAAAUAGUAAGACUUAAUAUUGUAAUCAAUAAUUAAAUUCAACUUUGGUUGUUAUCAAGUUAGGAGAAAUAACUAGGGUACACGUGUUCCCCAUAAUCUCAUAACGCAGUAAUCCUAGCAAUAGCAAUCCUUUUCUAGUAUAUUACAUGCAAAGUGAUAAGUUAGGUAUCUCUAAAUCCUUGGUCCGGCAUCUAGAGAAUUUCACCCCGCACCUUGGUCCGGCUACGUGUGUAUAAUUUACUAACCCUUACCUUUACCUCAUAUUAGACAUCAUAAUCGAUGUUUGGCUUAGUUAUUACUUCGCACCAAUCGACACUAGCCUAUUAGAUAGUAUCACACUAAAUCUAUGUUGAUAAUUCUUUUCUUGUUAAUUACCUCCUUGGUCCGGCAAGUAGUAACAAGGCGAGUUCUAACGUUGGCCACCGUUAAAAAGACUUCUAAACGAAAGAAUUAUCAAUGCAUGCAAAACACUAUUCAAGAAUUACUUAUUUACUAUUCAUACUUUGUUAAUCGAUCAUGGUUCCCACAACCCUAGUUGUGAAUUUAGUUACUCAUAUUGGCAAGAACACAAUUCAUAAUUGUAGAGGGAGAAAUCAUGAACUUACGUAAAGAUAAUAACAAACCCGGAAAUUUAACUUGAAUUGCAAAGCCAAAAUCUUCAAAACAAACUUAGGAAAUCAAUAAUUGUUAGGUUUUCCAAUUAAUCUCCCAAGUCACAAAGUAAAACUAGAAUAAUAAUGUCUAACCCCCAAAAACGAGGUUUAAAUGCCCUAUUUANNNNNNNNNNNNNNNNNNNNNNNNNNNNNNNNNNNNNNNNNNNNNNNNNNNNNNNNNNNNNNNNNNNNNNNNNNNNNNNNNNNNNNNNNNNNNNNNNNNNNNNNNNNNNNNNNNNNNNNNNNNNNNNNNNNNNNNNNNNNNNNNNNNNNNNNNNNNNNNNNNNNNNNNNNNNNNNNNNNNNNNNNNNNNNNNNNNNNNNNGUAGAUCAGUCUACGGACCGUCAAUGGGCGUCGUGGUUCCACACUUGGUCAGAUUUCCCUGAUUUAUCCUCACUAUCAUGCCUGCUGAUCUACGGUCAUAACCUACGGACCGUGGAUGGAUCUACGGUCCGUAGAUCACCUCCGUGGAUGUCCCUUUUCUGCAAUUGCUUCAGCUGUCUCUACACAUCCGCACCUGAACGUCUUUCCUGCAAAACAUGGUAAAAACACAUCAAAACCAAUAUAAAAAGGCCUUAGACACACACAACUAGUAAGUGAAACGUAUUAGAAAUACCGUAAACUCAUGGUAUAUCAAUUUUCCCCACAAAAAUGCUUAAUACACUUUGCAUAGUCAAUUCACUCUAACUUUGUCUAUGAACACAUGCCCUUUUUUCCUUCUUGCAGUAACUAUUCAAGUAUAAUUGUGUUGUAUGCAUACAUUGCCAUUAUCGAUCGAGACCUUAGACAUUGACAAAAGGAUUUGAUGUAUGUUUAGAAAAUAUAUACAACACUUUGUUUUUGAUUGCGUAAGAAGUAAAAACAUUGUAAGAACUUGGACAUUAACAAAAGAAUGUGCAUCUUAGUUUAAUUAGAUGUCACAAAUUGAAGAGAACUCUAAUUGGUGUGGUUCUUUAACUCUUCCUGCCCAUAUUAUUGUCAAGAUAUCUUGGUGGACGCAUGUUACUAAGAUUUAAUAUCGACCGAAUAACGAUUAACACUCUUGAUUGGAUUUGCAGAGUCCAAAUUGUGGACAUGAGUCGAGAGCGAGAAAGUCUGGAGAAGAAAAUGAGAUUUCAUAUUUUGAUUUUGGAAGACGAAGAGGUAUUUUUACCUAUAGUAAUAUCAUCUAAUUUUUCUUCACAUAAUUAUAUUACUUGCCUAUAGCUCAAAAAGCUAUUAAACUUUACAUGAGCAACAAAUUAGGUAGUUUUGUAUGGGGAUGAUAUUAGGCGUUAUGCAAAUAAGCUUACACUCUUUAAGACAUAUCUGAUCCUAGCUGUAAAAGUAAAAGUUUCACCAACUUCAAUCAAAAGAUUAACACAUAGAUUUUAUUGGAUACUUAACAAAGAAAUUAUAGUUGAACAUGUCAAACUAACCGACAAGCUUGAGAAACCCCUGUUAUCGUCGAUCAAGCUAUCUAUCACAAUUUUUUACAGUAUUUUUCAUAUGACUUCUGAUUAUGUUGCAGAAAUUGGUGCACUGCCCCUACAAACUAUUAGUUGCCUAAAAUUUAAAUUUUUAUCUAUGUACAGACUAAUUAUAUUUCCUUAUUUCACAUUAGCUUUUUCUCAUCAGAUAUUUUAAAUUUUACAAAUGUCUACUUUUGUUUUCAGCACCAACUCCUACGUAUUGACCAUGUCUAACAGAUAUUGUCAAAUAGACUAUUCCACAUUCAUCUGAGGAAGUCUUCCUGGAUAAGCUCUAGCGUCACUAAAAAAAUUAUAACAGUUCUAUCCUACACAAAAUUAGAACAGGUUUUUCAGCGUAGCAUUAAUGUGAGGAACGCUAAAACGCUGAUGUCACUCAACACAAGCAAGGUGGAGAUGAAACCAUCAUUUAUUGAAUCUAAAUCUUCAAGCGUCGGGCUGUCAGUUGAAUCACCGACGCCAAUAAAAAAGCUGUAAAAUGUGAGUCGUUUAGUGAUCCUUUAAUUUUUCCAAUGCACAUGAUUCCCGAAUAGAUUUAUGUAUCUUACAAGUAGACAUGCAUCUAUUCUUGGAAGACAAGCAUUAUUAUGCAGUUAAGUUUGGUCGGAAUAAGUUUUGUUCCCUCAUUUUUUUUAUAGUUUUAUAGUUAUUGACCUUUUGAAUCUGCCUCAAAUGACAUCCUCUUAUUCAUAUGUUAAUUACGAAAGAAUAUAUACUAAUUAAUUAAUAAUCUUUCUAUUCCUUUUUGUCUACUGGUAGAUAAGUAAUCAAUGUCUCAUUCUCUAUUAGAUUAAUUUCCUAUGUAUUUCUCCAGUAAAUCUCACUAGAAUUGUCACUCUUACGAUUGUCAUUUUUUAUCAUUUAGUUGAAAAUAUGAUUUUAUUUUUUUCCAUCAAAAUAUCCAUAACUUUAUUAGCUAAUAAUGCAUCAGAUAGUGUUGUAGUUUUCCGUGUCAGUCACGUGUUAUUGUUGAAUUUUGCUGAUCAUAUAUGUAUUUAACACAUACAAUUGUAGGUUCAUUCUCGCAUUUUAUUUUUGCUCUAAAGUUCUUUUUCAUCUAUAUUAGAUUGAAAAUUUGUGAAUGAAAUUUGUAAACGUCAGCAUUGUAGUAUUCUUAUUGAGAUUGUUGUGAAUGGACAAUAUUUCUUGGUGCUCGAGAUCAACAUCGGAUUAAGUGGCUACAUUUAAAAUUUAGGUUGAUAAAUAGCAAACAAUGAGAGAAAAAUAGGUUUAUGUGAAUUAUGUCGCAACUUUCAAAAAUUUGUUAUCCCCUAACUCCACUUCUACCCUUACAGUCCUGGAUGUUUGAAUACUGUCUAAUUGCAUGAAGUAUCUUCCUUAUUUUGAUGUUGCUGGAAAAUAAUAGUCUUUUUGGAUUCUCAAUAUCUACAACUUCACUUGGUAUGAAUGUCACGCUUCAAGCCUACACCCUGGGCGGAACUGGCACUCGAGAACCAUUGUUGGCCCCAAGCGAACCAUUGACCUGGCUUACUACUCGGCGGAAGACUUUACUCAACAAAGAUAAGCUCAAUAAACUAGAAUGUUAUAAAAGAAAACAUUCAACUAGCCAAUAAGGCAAAUCAAGUCUUAUAAUCAACACAACUGAAAUACGAAGACUAAUGAACUAAUAACUAACAGUCUAUGAAGCCUCUAAUAACUUAGAUGGACGUCGGGACAAGACCCACGACAUCCUAAUAAACUAUAAUAAUAAUAAUAAUAAUAAUAAUAAUAAUAAAGCAACUAAAAAGGGAUCCUCCGAAAGCAAGGAAGAUCACCAACAACUCUGAAGCUCAACUGGAUCAACGAAACGUUGGAUGGUGAUCUUGAUUACCUGUAUCUGCAUCAUAAAACAAUGCAAGCCAAAUGACUUCAGUACAUUGAAUGUACGAGCAUGUGAGGGGAAUUCUAAAACAAGACAUAAGCUUGAAAAUGGAACUGAAGAAACUUACCUUGUCUCAACUCAACUCAACUCAACUUAUUUCAAUAUAAAGUAGUAAUAAGAAUACAGUAUAAAGAAAAUCUUUAAAACAUGUAAAUAACAACUCAGUGUAUUCAGAAAGCAUAAUAGUAUAAUUUUGUAUAUGAAAAUACAAGUAUCUCUAUGGGAGAUUCCCUAACCAAUAACCAUCACUAUGAGUUAUGUGAUGAUACAUUGUAUUGUCGCACGCUGCCAGGGCCGUCCUAUACUUUGUUGAGGUAUAGAAUCUACUCACUAAGUGGAUCCACUAGUCUAUGCUAAAAGCAUUAAGGAAUCAUCUAAAAUGUAUAACCUUUUUCUACCUAUGUUGGCUACACGGUUUAUGGAGACUUUGAAUUAACUGAACUCAAACUCGUCCCCAAUUCGGUGCUCAGUACUACACCCAAAAUGUAACUAGCUCAUAUGUUUAAAAACACAACUCUUUCUGUGGUUUGAGAUUAUUACUCAAAAACUAGCUCAAAAGCUCUCUUGGAAAGCAAUGUUUCCUCUCUUGUUUAAAUGUGAAAACAUUUACUCUUUGGGAAUACUUAGUUCCCAUAUAAUCUUUUGAAGAAAUGAACUUCACUCUUACUCUUACUCAACUCAAUGCUCAAGUCUUUAAAACAAGUUUAAAACAUUUGUAAAAGACUUUUGAAAAGACUCUAAGAACUCUCUAGACUUGGCUCUUAAAUUUCCUUGAAUUUGAAUUUAUGGAUUCAAGGUUAUGAUUCAUGUUUAUGGAUAAUUUCUAGUCGUUUAGAGUAGUUAGAAUCGAUGGGAAGUUAGAGGACACUUUAAGAGAACUUAGAUGGGCUAAACGAUGAAAAACGGGUUGGGGCAGACGUCCCGGGCGCAUUGCUGGCGCGGGACGCUAGGCCCAAAGUUCUAGGACUCAAAUCUGGCGCGCCGCCCCAGCCCCUCCUCAAGUGGUUCCGACAAAUUUUUCAACUCAUUUUUUUAUCUUAAUUCGAUUAAAUUCGAUUCUUUUUCUCAAUUUCUCUUUAGAUUCAGAUACCAAAAACAAGUACACAUAAAUCUACUCAAAACAACUCUAAAAAUCGAUACGAUUACCUCAAGAAACUCAUCAAUCCCAUCCUAACUCAAGAACGAAAGCCAAUUUCAAGAGCACAAUUCAAGAUCAUCAAACUUUCAAAUUUCUAGAACGAAUUUCGCUUAAAUAAACAUGAAUAACACGUGGGUGAAUGAACCCAAUGCUAUGAAAGUCUCACAUACCUCUUAGAGAUUAAACCCUUGGCGAAAUCCGCAACCAAAUCUCAAGAACUUGAUGAAAUCUUGACCUUUCUCCUCUUUUCUCCUCUUGAACUCUUUUCUAAAAACCCUAGCAUGAAUUGUAAUUGCGUAAACUGAACCAAUUCAGUUUAGACCCCUUACUAAAAAUUAAUUAAAUCUGAUAGGAUAAGGAAAAGACUAAAAUACCCCUCUUAAAUUCGGGUAACUUUUCUUAAAUAGAUAGUUCAACUUUAAACGAGCAUAUCUCCCUCAUACGAGCUCAAAAAUUAGCAAACUCGGUGGUGUUGGAAAGAUAAUUCCAAGACCUUUCAUUUGAUACCUGGUAGCCCACCUAACUAAUUUUGUACUAAGAGUUUUGAUUGUUUAAAGUUGACCCAAAACUCAUACUUAGCAUAACUUGCCAAAAUUUCCAAAUUUGAUCUUUCCAAAAAUAGUUUCUUUCUAAUUCUAGUUCUUUCAAAUAGCAAGGUGUUACAAUAUCUCUCCCUUGGGAAUAUUCGUCCUCGAAUGAGAUUACUCUAAGUAGACUAAGGGUGUAACAUUUAACAUGAAGCUCAAACACCUAACAAGAAAAAUAUAAAUACAACAUAUCUACUUAAAAAAAUGCCAAGAAAAGGAUUAGUACCUUAAUUUGGAAUUUCUUCGGAAUCGAAGAGAAGUGGGUAUCUCUUCUUCAUAUACUCCUCAGCUUCCCAAAUAGCUUCAUCAACAUAUUGAUUCAUCCACAGAACCUUGACUGAUGCUACCCUAGAAUCUGAACGAGAAUCUCCUCAUAAGAUAAGCUAUCUUCAAUACUAAUAUCUUCGAUAGGUAUGAUAAGUGAAAGAUCGCCAAUGCACUUCUUCAACAUGGAAAUGUGAAACAUUGGAUGAACUGCUGCUAACUCUUGCGGUAGCUCCAACUCAUAAGUUAAAUUACCAAUCCUCUUGGAUAUCCUGUAAGGACCAAUAUAUCGGGGACUAAGUUUCCCCUUCUUACCAAAUCUCAUAACACCCUUCAUGGGUGAAACCUUCAAGUAUAUCCAAUCAUCUACUUCAAACUCUAGGUCUCUUCUCCUAACAUUAGUGUAGGAUUUCUGACGACUCUGCGUUAUUUUUAAUCUCUCUUGAAUGACCUUCACUUUCUCCAUAGCUUGAUGAACUAAAUCCGGUCCUAUCAACCCAGCUUCACCAACCUCAAACCACCCGAUAGGAGAUCCGCAUCUUAUCCCAUAAAGAGCCUCAUACGGAGCCAUUUGGAUGCUCGAGUGAUAACUAUUGUUAUAAGAAAAAUCUAUGAGAGGUAGGUGAUCAUCCCAAUUACCUUUGAAAUCAAUCACACAAGCCAUCAAUAUAUCUUAUAAAGUGUAUAUAGUGUACUCUACUUGACCAUCAAUAUGAGGAUGAAAAGCAGUACUCAAGUUCACCUUUGAACCCAAACCUUUCUGGAAUGACUUCCAAAAUUGCACAGUAAAUUGUGCACCCCUAUCUGAAUUAAUGAACACCAGAACUCCAUGAAGUCUGACUACCUCUUGAAUCUAUAACUUAGCAUAAUCCUAUGCUGAAUCGGUAGUUUUUACCAACAAAAAGUGGGUUGAUUUAGUCAUUCGAUCUACAAUCACCAAAAUCGAAUGAUGUUGUCUGCGAGACCGUGGUAAACCUGUAAUAAAGUUCAUAUUGAUCAUCUCCCACUUCCAUUCCGAAAGUUCUAUAUUCUGAGCCAUACCACCGGGCCUCUGGUGCUCUACCUUGACUUGUUGGCAAUUCAGACACUUAGCAACGAACUCUGCAAUGCCCUUUUUCAUACUACUCCACCAAUAAACCUCUCUCAAGUCACGACACAUCUUUGUGGAACCCGGAUGGAUAGAAUAUCUAGAGCUAUGAGCUUUCUCCAUGAUCCUCUCUUGGAGUUCAUCCACCUUUGGUACACACAAUCUACCUUGAUACCUCAAUACACCAUCUCCCCCUUGUUCGAAAACCAUCACUUUUUGCUUAUGAACAUUUGCCUUCAAUUCAAGAAAAAUAGGAUCUUGCUCUCGUUUCUCUUUAACUUCGGACACUAAUUAUGAUUCAGCCCUAUUCAUCACCACUACUCAUCAUUCAUUGAAAUCAAUUAAACGAACUCCUAAUCGUGCAAGUCUAUGCACAUCUUUUGCUAACUCUUUCUUGUCUUACUCAACAUAGGCAGUACUACCCAUAGACAAUCUUCUCAAGGCAUCAACAACAACAUUAGCCUUACCUGGGUGAUAGAGAAUACUCAUGUCAUAAUUCUUGAGUAACUCAAACCACCUCCUCUGUCUGAGAUUAAGCUCUUUCUGACUAAACAUAUACUGAAUGCUCUUGUGAUCGGUGAACACAUCGACAUGAACACCAUAAAGAUAAUGUCGGCAUAUUUUCAAAGCAAAUACUACAACAGCCAACUCUAGAUCACGGGUUGGGUAAUUCCUCUCGUGAACCUUAAGUUGUCUGGAGGCAUAAGUUAUGACCUUGCCAUUAUGUAUUAACACACAACCCAAACCGACUCUGGACGCAUCACAAUAUACCACAAAACCUUGCGUACCUUCUGGUAAGGUCAAUACUGGGGGCAGUAGUCAACCAUUUUUUCAAUUCCUGAAAACUUUUCUUACAAGCUUCAGACCAUUGAAACUUAACUAUUUUCUGAGUCAACUUAGUCAAAUGAGAUGAAAUAGAUGAGAACCCCUCGACGAACAUUCUAUAAUAGCCCACUAAUCCCAAGAAACUCCUAAUGUCGGUUAGAGACGUGGGUCUAGGCCAGUUCUGCACUGCCUCUAUCUUUUAAGUGUCAACUCGAAUUCCAUCACCGGAAACAUUAUGGCCUAAGAAUGCCACAAACUCAAGCCAAAAUUCACACUUAGAAAAUUUAGCAUACAACUCUCUAUCCUUGAGAGUUUGAAGAACUACUUUGAGAUGACUAGCAUGAUCCUCUUUAUUCCUCAAAUAGAUUAGAAUGUCAUCAAUGAAUACGAUAACAACCAUAUCUAAAUAAGGCUUGAAUACUCUGUUCAUAAGGUUUAUGAAUGUUGCAGGGGCAUUAGUCAAACCAAACGACAUGACCAAAAACUCAUAAUGACCGUAACGGGUCCUAAAAGUUGCCUUAGGGAUAUCACUUUCUCUUACUCUCAACUAAUGAUAGCCAGAUCUGAGGUCUAUCUUAGAAAAAUAAGUGGCACCUUGAAGUUGAUUGAAAAGAUCUUCAAUUCUUGGAAGAUGAUACUUUUUCUUGAUAGUAACCUUGUUCAACUGACGGUAAUCUAUACACAUUCUAAGAGAACCAUCUUUCUUUCUCACAAAUAAGACCGGAGCCCCCCAAGGUAAGACACUUGGUCAAAUAAAACCUUUCUCAAGGAUAUAUUUCAACUACUCUUUCAACUCUGCUGAUGCCAUUCUAUAUGGAGGAAUAGAUAUAAGAUGAGUAUCGGGAAGAAUAUCUAUACCAAAAUCUAUUUCUCUCUCAGGAGAGACUCCGGGAAGAUCAUCUGGAAAGACUGCUGGAAACUCACUAACAACUGAAACUGACUAAAUAUGUGGUGUCUCAACACUAGAGUCAUUAACUCGGACUAAGUGAUAGCUACACCCCUUGGAAACUAACUUUCUGGCCUUAAGGUACGAAAUGAAAUGACACUUAGGCACUGCUGAACUACUCAUCCACUCUAUAACUGGCUCAUUAGGAAACUGGAAGUUAACAACUCAAGUUCUACAAUCGACUGAGGCAUAAUAGGCAUGAAGCCAGUCCAUACCAAGAAUGAAUGACAUCAAAAUCUACCAUGUGUAACUCAACUAAAUCAGCCAUGGUGCUCUUGUGAUUGACGGACAUGGUACAAUCACGAUAGACUCUCUCAGCUAGAAUAAACUCACCAAUAAGUGUGGAAACACUGAAGGGCUUAAGAAGUUUCUCAGAAAAACAUCAAAAUUCAUCGCAACAUAUAGAGUCACAAAAGAUAGACUUGCUCCUGGAUCUAGUAAAGCAUAAACAUCAAAAUUAAAGACUUUGAUCAUACUAGUGACAACAUUUGACGAAUCCUCUUGUUGUUGGCGACUAGUAUUAGCAUACAGACGGUUCGCUCCUCCACCUGCCCCUGAAGUAGCUCCUCUAGAUGCAGCCUUGUCUGGUGGAGCAACUGAAGAAGAUUGGGUUUUAUUGCCCCCAUUACCAUUACCUUGCUUGUUCUUAUGGCACUCUUUCAUAAAAUGACUAUUCUGACCACACUUGAAACAACCAGUGGAGCCAUCACGACACACUCCUGAGUGGGUCCUACCACACUUAGCACAUGCAUGAGUCCCAUUACCUCUUUGUGCCACACUACCUUAAGACUACGCAGGUCUAACUCUAAAAUUUUGUGAAUUCUGAUUGUUGAACUGACCUAUGUUCCUUGGUGCAGGUGCACUAGCAGAUGAUGGAGCAAGUCCCUUUUGCUUAUGUUGGAAAGAAGACCGGUUCGCAUUACUCUUUUGCUGCCCGGACUCAUUUUCUUAUGUCUUAGCCUUCUUGUUUCUAAACUCUUCUGUAUCCCUUAGUUUGUCCUCCUCAACCUGUUACACAUGGAUCAUCAGCCUUGUUAUGUCCAUAUCGCCUAUCAGCAUAGCUUCCUCGCCUUCCUUACUUGACAGACGAGACAACCCAGUAACGAACAAACUCAUCCUACACUUCAUGUCAGCAACCAUUUCCGGAGCAUAGCGAGAAAGUUGGGUGAACUUCAGACUUUACUCAUGAACACUUAUCGAUUCCUGCUUAAAAGUGAUAAAUUUUCUUACCUUUGCCUCUCUUAGCUCACGGGGAAAGAAACUCCUCAUGAAGACACUUUCGAACACAGCCCAGCUCACAAUCGGUGCACCCUCAACUCUAGCCUUCUUCCAUUGGUCAAACCAGAUUCUAGCAACACUCUUCAGUUGAUAUGGAACUAGUUUCACUCUAUCAGCAUCAACAACAUGCAUAACCUUAAACACUUUCUGCAAUUCCUCUACAAAGUUUUUCGGAUCCUCAGUGAUGCUUGAACCAGUGAAGCUUGGAGGAUUCAUCCUUAAGAACUCACGGAUCCUUGAAGUAUCAGCCACUUCUUGUUGAUUCUCUCUCUACCUAACUUGAUUGGUCACUGCUUGACUUAACAUCCGGAUAGCUUUACGGAACUCAGCAUUGGUGACCUCUCUUUGGGGUCGCACUUUGUGCAUUAGGUACCCCUUGUUCCUCGACAUUCCUCCUAGAAGGACGACCUCAGACAGCUCUUCGUGGAGGCAUGAUCUGAAAGAUACACACAAGCACAAGUUAGAAAGUAACUUUUAUAGAGAUAAACUCUAUCGCACGAAAUGAGUAUGAAAGAAGUGAGAUAGUUCCUAAAUGUUGCAGCCUCCUAAUUAUAGAUGUGGCUCACUUCACACCGAUAACUAGGACUCUAUAGACACGACUUCAUAGACUCUCUAGGACUCUUGAACUCUGGGCUCUCAUACCAAGUUUGUCACGCCCUGAGCCUACACCCUAGGCGGGAUUGGCACUCGAGAACCAUUGCUGGCCCCAAGCAAACCCUUGGUCUGGCUUACUACUCAGCAGAAGACUUUACUCAACAAAGAUAAGUUCAUGAAAUAAACUAGAAUGUUAUAAAAGAAAACAUUCAACUAGCCAACAAGGCAAAUCAAGUCUUAUAAUCAACACAACUGAAAUAACAAGACUAAUGAACUAAUAACUAACUGUCUAUGAAGCCUAUAAUAACUUAGAUGGACGUCAGGACAAGACCCACGACAUCCUAAUAAACUAGAAUAAUAAAGCAACUAAAAGGGGAUCCUCCGAAAGCAAGGAGGCUCACCAACAACUCUAAAGCUCAAUUGGAUCAACGUAACGCUGGAUUCUAAUCUUGAUUACCAAUAUCUACAUCAUAAAAUGAUGCAUGCCAAAUGGCAUCAGUACAUUGAAUAUAUAAGCAUGCGAGGGGAAUUCUAAAACAAUACAUAAGCUUGAAUGGAACUAAAGAAACCUACUUUGUCUCAACUCAACUCAACUUAUUUCAAUAUAAAGCAGUAAUAAGAAUGCAGUAUAAAGAAAAGCUUUAAAACAUGUAAAUAACAACUCAGUGUAUUUAGAAAGCACAAUAGUAACUUAAUUUUGUAUAUGAAAAAAUACAAGUUACUAUGUGGGAGAUUCUCUAACCGACAACCAUCACUAUGAGCUAUGUGAUGAUACAACUUCUUGUUGCACGCUGCCAGGGUCGUCCUAUACUUUGCCGAGGUAUAGAACCUACUCACUAAGUGGAUCCACUAGUCUAUGCUAAAAGCAUUAAAAAAUCAUCUAAAAAGUAUUAUCAUUUUCUACCCAUGUUGGCUACACGGUUUAUGGUGACUUUGAAUUAUCUAAACUCAAACUCGUCCCCAAAUCGAUGCUCAAUACUACACCCAAAAUGUAACUAGCUCAUAUGUUUAAAAACAUAACCCUUUCUGUGGUUUGAGAUUAUUACUCAAAAGCUCUCUUGGAAAUUGAUGUUUCCUCUCUUGUUUAAAUGUGAAAACAUUUACUCUUUGGGAAUACUUAAUUCCCAUAUAAUCUUUUGAAGAAAUGAACUUCACUCUUACUCUUACUCAACUCAAUGCUCAAGUCUUUAAAACAAGUUUAAAACAUUUGUAAAAGACUUUUGAAAAGAUUCUAAAAACUCUCUAGACUUGGCUCUUAACUUUCCUUGAAUUUGAAUUUAUGGAUUCAAGGUUAUGAUUAUUGAUGAUUUCUAGACGUUUAGAAGUCGUUUAUAGUAGUUAGAAUUGAUGGGAAGUGAUAGGACACUUUAAGAGAACUUUAACUGGCUAAACGACGAAAAACGGGUGGGAGCAAACGUCCUGGGCACAUUGCUGGCGCGGGGCGUCAUCCCCGAAGUUUUGGGACUCAAUUCUGGCGCACUACUGGUGCGCCGCCCCAGCCCCUCUGGCGCAUCUGUGGUGCGCUGUGCCAACCCCUCCCAGGUGGUUCCGACGAAUUUUUCAACUCAUUUUAUGAUCUUGAUUCGGUUAAAUUUGAUUCUUUUUCUCAAUUUCUCUUUAGAUUCAUAUACCCAAAACAUGUACACAAGAAUCUACUCAAAACAAAUCUAAAAAUUGAUACGAUUAUCUCAAGAAACUCAUUAAUCCCAUCCUAACUCAAGAACGAAAACCAAUUUCAAGAACACAAUUCAAGAUCAUCAAACUUUCAACUUUCUAGAACAAAUUUCGCUGAAAUAAACAUGAUUGGCACGUGAGUGAACGAACCCAACGCUAUGGAAGUCUCACAUACAUCUUAGGGAUUAAACCCUUGCUGAAAUCCGCAACCAAAUCUCAAGAACUCGACGAAAUCUUGACCUUUCUCCUCUCUUCUCCUCUCGAACUCUUUUCUAAAAACCCUAGCGUGAAUUGUAAUUGCGUAAAUUGAACCAAUUAAAUUUAGAACCCUAAUAAAUUACUAAAAAUGAAUUAAAUCUGAUAGAGUAAGGAAAAAACCAAAAUACCCCUCUUAAAUCCGGGUAACUUUCCUUAAAUGGACAGUCCGACUUCAAAUGGGCAUAUCUCCCUCAUACGAGCUCAAAAAUUAGCAAACUCAGCGGCGUUGGAAAGAUAAUUCCAAGACCUUUCAUUUGAUACCUUGUAUCCCACCUAACUUAUUUUGUAAUAAGAGUUAUGGUUUUUUGAAGUUGGCCCAAAACUCAUACUUAGCAUAACUUGCCAAAAUUUCCAAAUUUGAUCUUUCCAAAAAUAGUUUCUUUAGAAUCUAUUCAUUAAAUUCAUUAAAUCAAAUUUAGGUUAUUAUUCUAAUUCUAGUUCUUUCAAAUAGUGAUGUGUUACAAUGAAGGACCAAUUAUUAGGAACUAGGAAGGUGGGAGUAACAAAGAUGAUAUGCAGGUUUUCCAUCUUUUUUUGUCACCUCAACGCUCAAAAUUCAAAACGAAGUGGAUAUGCCACUUUGGUUAAGUUUGUUGAAUCGACUUUUAUUUAAGUAAAUAUUCACUGUUAUUAAACUAACUUCACUAUAUAUUUACAUAAAUGACUACAUACACUCUUGAAAGAAUUUUCCUCUUUCCGUUAAUUGAUUCGGAAUGACAUUGUUCUGAUUCACAAGUACAAAAAAAGAAGUCUGAAAGUGAUUUUGUGAUGACUGAUGAGGCAUUAGAGAGGAAAAAGGCAUGGUAUAUGGGGGUGAUGAUUCAACUUCGCGAAUGGUAUGAAAUUAAGUUAUUUCAUACUGGUUGUGGUAUUGAUCAUUCGUUUGAUGUGGAAGCUAUUGAAGUUCUCAAUGCUCAGAAGAGUGACUUUGAGGUGUAUUGAUGUUAGACUAUAUUCCGUGUUUCUGUGUGAGUUAUCCUUCAUUGUUGUGUGUUUGUAAUAAACAAAUUCCCUUUUUUCGGUUGAUUUCAUUUUAAAUUUCAUCUGUUGGGUAAAAUUUCAGAAUGAAAAAGUCAAUUGUUUUUUAUUUGUUUGUAGCGGUCGUAAGGUAUUAUAGCUCCUAAUUUCUCUCACCCAUUGACCUUUGAUCAUUUUAAUAACCAAUUAUUUUCAUAACGACAAAUAGAAAUGAAAAAUAUGAACAGUAGUAGUAGAAUUAUCAUGCAAGGAAUUGGAAAAAUCCUUAUAACUAUGAUUUGUGAACUCUUUUAGUGUUUGUUUUCUUUACUAAGGGCCUGUUUGGAAAGCCACCUGGAAAUUGGAAUUGGUGUAAUUACUAGGGUAGUAAUUAUCAGCCUAGUAAUUACACAGUCUAGUGAUUACUCUGACCUGUUUGUUUGUCUCAGUGUAAUUUCAUUGUAAUUACACAUGUCCUGUUUGGAUGCCACAAUGUAAUUACACAUGUUCUGUUUGGAUGCACAAUUGCAAUAAUUAAAUUAUAUUAAAUUUUAAAAAUAAAAAUUAAUUAUUUAAAAUUUAUACUAGAUAAGAAACUUUAUAAAUGUAAUUAAAUUAAAUAUUUAAGAUAUAUAUUAUUUUUAGAAAAUAUAUUAAUUAAUAAAAAUAUUUAUUAACUAAUAUUAUGAAUAUUAAUUGAUUUAUAUUUUUUCAAAUUAAUAUAUUUAAAUUGAACUGAUCAUAAAAACUAAAAGUAUGAAGUUUCUACGAACAUCAUGAAAUGCAUGUUUGAUAAAAAGAUUAAUAUAUAAAUAAAAUGUCAUAAAUUAUUAAAAUGUUUGACAAAAAGAUAAUCUAUAAAGUCUAAUUAAAAAAUGACUUGCAAUGUGCAGGGGCGGAUCUACGUGGAAAGGUGGGGGUGCCAUGGCACCCAAUGAUCUCGAAAAAACGUUGUGUGUAUAUAUAUAUAUAUAUAUAAUAAUUAAAUAUAUAUUAACUUUGCCAUCCAAAGAUUGAAAUGCUGAACAGUUCAAUUGGUGAAGGAGGCCGCCUGCCACACAGGCAAUGAGGGUUCAAUCCUCGCUACAAGCACCUAUUAUUUUUGUUUGCUCCUUUUUUCCUUUUUUUUUUUUUUUGUCUUUUUCAUUAAUGUGUAAAGGGCAUUAUUUAUUUUUUCUCCAUUCAUUAUUAUUUAUUUACUAUUCUUUAUUAAUUCAAAUUGACUCCUUUUCACAAUUAAUUUUUAUUUAUUUUUUUACUUUCUCUUUCACUAAUUAUUAAUCUCUUGAUAUAAGUGUUACGUGUUUAUUCUUUAUCAAUUAAUGACUACUGAAUUAUGAAUGUCAAAUAAAUAUUAUUAAGAAUAUAUUUAAAUAGUUAGUUUUUAAAAAAUAUAAGUUUUAAAAAUGAUGAAUAUUAUUAUUAGAUUUUUUUUUUAAUUUAAAGGUUCUUUUGAUCUUCACUGACGUUCUUGCUAAGUAAGAUGACUAGGCCGAAACUAUAUUUUUUAUUUUUUCCCUACUACAUAUCUCCAACAACACAUAAAGUCAAUGAAAUAUGAAUAUAUUAAGUUCAUACUAUUAGAUGGUUUAUACAAGCUCAAAUUUUAAUGUGAAAAAUCUUUUUUUUCCUCAAAGUUUCAGCGAAUAAGACAUCUAAUUCCAAAAAGUAAAUAAAAAUUGAAUUGUUUAGUUAUCUCUAAUCUCAAAAUAUCUAAAAAAAAAUAUAACAUGCAUAUUUGAUCGAUUUGUUUAUAAAAAUAAAAAAAGAUUAAUAAACCGAAUUGUAACCCACAUCGUUCAAGUGGCACCCACGACCUCCAAAUCUUAGAUCCGCCUCUGGCAAUGUGAAUUCAAUAUUACUAAAACAAAUGAAAUUGAAAAUAUAACAUAAAAUUAUAAAAUUCAAAACAAAAAAUUUAACAUAAUACUCCUAUCGCAAAUUUCAACAUAGCAUACAUAAAUAUAAUUUAUUUAUUUUUAAAAAAAAAACGUAAUUCUAUAACAUUACUUAACAAUAAAUUCUAUUUUAAUUUAAAAAAUAGAAUACUAAUAAAAUUAUGCUAAUGAGAAAAUAAGCAUGGAAUAAAGAAAUAGAUAAUACGAAAAAAUUGCAUAGAAUCACGUGAAGUAAGGUUGAGAAUGAGAAAAAAAUGAAAUAUAAUAAUAAAAAAUAAAAAAUAAACUUUUAGAAAUUUUUAGAAUAACAAUAAAAAAAAUGAACUUAAAAUAAUAGAAAUAAAAAAAUUAAAACAAAAAAGUUAAAAUUAAAAUAAAAAGAAGAAAUUUGUAAUUACCAGCAAUUCACAGCCUCUCCAUGUGAAUUGGAGAGUGUAAUUACCCCCUGCCAAUUAUAUUAAUUACCUGUUGACCAAGUAAUUACAUGUCCAACCAAACAUGACAUACAUUGUAAUUACACCAAACCCAAUUACCAGGGUGCCCUUCCAAACAGGCCCUAAAGAAAUUAAGAUGAGAAGCUGAAAUUAGUUUUCUAUUACUGUAUCAAUUCUUAAAUGGAGAAAGUGAAUCAUUUCAGUGUGAGCUGUAACAUAGAUUGAGUGUGGUAUUAGUUGCUAAAUUAACCUUUGGCUUGAUUUAUCUACUCAAUUGAGGAGAAAAGAUGGCAGAGCUUAUUUCAUAACAACAUUUUUAAUACAUUGCACUUUCAGGACAAGUUUGGCACGCAAGACACUUCGAUCUUGGAGCCUUGUAUGAUAGUGAAGGUUAGCGAGAUUUGGGCUGCUGAGGGUCCCACAUUCUUGAAUAUUGCUUUUGAAAAUUUUAUACAUUUCUUUCGGGAUUCUUCUCUGUGAAUAUGUGCAUAUUUAAUGAAAGCUGUAAUUGCUAAAUUCAUUGAGAAGAUUCACUGUAGCAAAGGCAGAACGAGAAUUCUGACUCUUAUGUUUCAUGGUUGGUGAGGAAAUAGAAACCAUGAGAAACGUUGAAGUUAGAUUGUUUAUCUAUUAAUCUAAAUGCGUCAAUUUUCUUCAUUCUUUUUUUCCUUCAAAUAUGACUUGUAUUCCAUUUGGUGAAGAUUCUUGAAUAUUUUGGCAGUAGACGUUUUCGCUUCUAAGCAUGUCCAGAAAAUUUACACAUCAAGCUAUGUUUGAUCAUUUCUUGCUACAUUACAUCUAAUUAAAUUGGAUAUGUAUAUUUGAAUUUUUAUCCAAGAUAAGAUUGCAAGUCGUUUAUUCUAUUUCCUUUUUUGCAAGUGUUCUUCAAGAUUCUCAUCUACAAUGUCGAUUAUAUGAAGACCGAAGCACUAUCGCAUACCUAUUUGUAGACGAGCCUUUUAGAAUAUUACCAAUAACUAUUACAUAUAUAAAAGCUUUAUUUGCCUCGCCAACUAUUUGAUCUACAUGGAAAAGUUCUGGUGUACCAACAAUUUUUUUCUCCAUCGUCAAUUUUUUGGGUUAAAAUUGAUGUUAUUUUCAGGUCAAUGUUGGGCCCGUGCUAAGCACGGGCCUUGCCCUUCUAGUUUAGACUAAUACGAAAUUAAGUGUCUAGUACAGUACUGGUUUGGGCAUUCCCCAAGACUGAAUGUUGGGCCAUAGUGUGGCCAAUAGUAUCAAUAUUACAAACAAAAAUGCUCCUCACAAAAAAAAUUGUUUAUGUGAUCUCUAUUACUUUCAAAAAUUCAUAAUAAAACUACAAGAUAUUGUUGUUUAUGAAGAAUAAUUUAGAUGUGCAAAAUUUGAACUUCAUUUCCUGCUACAAGUCUAAUUGACCUCAACUUCAAAACAUGAUUACUUGUUGACAUUUUGAAUACCAAAAUUUCAGAAAUUUGGGCCUGUUCAUUCCAUUCUAACUACUCUCAUAUAUGUUCUGUUUGAUAUCUAAAUGAUUGUAGGGUAACACGAGCAAAUAAAUAACAAGUAGCACCAGUGGUCUAGUGGUACAAUAUUACCCUGCCACGAUACAGACCUGGGUUCGAUUCCCGGCUGGUGCAUUCUUGGGUUAGCUGUGAAAGUAAGGUAAAAUCUGUGCUCAAUGCGGUGAUUUGGGUCUCUGCACUCAUCCGACUAAACAUGGUGAUAGUUGCACAUCUGAGCUUCCCCUUUUUUCCUUUUAGAUUGUAGUUUGAUAACAUGGUGAUAUUGUUUUAUUACAUGUUUGCAUAUAACCACUUAUUUAGAAAUAUGCAAUCUUCAUGAAUUAGAACAACUGAAGGUGGUAUUGGAUGCCAGAGUAUGUAUCAUAUUUCAAAGGUCUCAAGAACCUUAAGUGGAAGGCGUUGAACUGAUCUUACGUCUCAAAAGCUUCAGAUAUGAUGUUUAGACAAGUAGGUGGCAACAAUCUUCAUGAAUUAGAACAACUGAAGGUGGUGUUGGAUGCCAGAGUAUAUAUCAUAUUUCAAAGGUCUCAAGAACCUUAAGCGGAAGGCGUUAAACUGAUCUUAAUAAAUAAGGCAUCUAAACUAAGAAAUGUGCAAAGAGCUAUCUUUAUAAGGAAUGUACAACUUUAUAACUACAAAUUAAAAGAGCAGAAUCAAACCUUAAACUCAUGAAUUUGUUUCACAGUGCAUAUUAACCUCAUGUCACCAAGCAUGAGAAGGACUAACCCUAUGCCUGUCAUCAUCUGUCAAUGCAGGUUGAAGCUUAUAACCUUUUCUUUCGGGUAUGCUUGCUCCAAGAACAACUUCCUUAAUGAAUUGAGUUCUCCAACGACAUCACUGAUCCGCUUUCUUUCUUUUGGAGAUUCAACGGAGCAGGAAACUCCGAUUUGAAUCACCUUAACUAAGAAUGACAGAAAUAUGUCACCAGCACUGCUUGUAUUGUCAUCAACUUUGUAUUUCAUUCCAAGUUCAUCUCUUUCCUGGAGAAGAAUGGGAUCUGCAAUAUGCAUCACUCUGUCUGGCAAAGCAGCAUUGGCAUAGUUAUGAAGGUUUAAAUUGUCUUUGAACAUUUCAUCAGUUGGUUUCCUCCCGGUAAACAUUUCCAAGAGCAGAAUGCCAAAGCUGUAUACAUCUCCAUAGAUUGAGGCGUCGCUUCCCAUACCUAAUUCUGUCAACAAGAAAUACUACAGAAUUAGAGAUAUUCUUAUCAAAAGACAUACAUAUGACAGCCAGCAGAAACCUUGAUUUAUUAUUACCUGGAGGUGUAUAACCAAUAGUUCCCCCUACACCUGUAGAGCUUUUUGAAUUUGCUGAUGAGUUUGGAAUUGCUGGUGGAACAAAUCUUGCCAAACCAAAAUCACCAACAUGUGCAGUCAUGUUCUCAUCGAGAAGAAUAUUGCUUGGCUUCAGAUCACGGUGAAUUAUUGGGGGUUGGCAAUCAUUAUGGAGAUAAUCCAGAGCACAGGCAACAUCAAUGGCAAUGUUUAAUCUUUGAAUAAACCGGAGCUUCUUGUGCUCUUCCUGUGACUCAGAUUUCUCCUGAGUAGUGAAAUGUAACCAGUCCUGUAGACUUCCCUUAUCCAUGUAUUCAUAAACUAUGGCCUUGAACUCAUUACCUUCAUAAUCAAUACCUGAGCAUGCACUUAGAACCUUUACAAGAUUACGAUGUCUAAUGUUCUUUAGAACCUCACAUUCAGCUAAAAAACUCCUGGAAGCUGCAUGGUGUGAAAGGUCCAGUACCUUAACAGCAAAAAACGUACCAUCGUGUUCAGAAAUUCCUUUAUAUACAGACCCAAAAGCACCCACUCCAAGCAAAUUUGAUGCAGAAAAUCUAUCAGUUUCCCUAAGUAGACACCGAUAAGAUACUCUUAAGGUUGAGUUUUCAGGUAUAUCUGUAGGUGUUGGUUUUCUCGAUCUACUAAACUGUCGUAUGCCAAGAAAACAAACUAUGAAUGUCAAUCCUAUAAGCCCACUAACUACAGGAAUUACUAUUUUCAAGGGAAAACCUGAUUUCCUUUCUUUCUUUACCUCUACAAUGCAAGCCGGAAGGUCCAACUCUGGUACACCCCCACAGAGAUUUCUAUUUCCUAUGAUGGAAACCACAGUAGCAUUACUAAAGAUGCCUCCUGUUGGGACAGCACCUUCCAAAGUAUUGCUAGACAGAUUUAAAAUCUGCAGAAAUUUAAAGUCCUUCAGGAAUCCCGGGAUUCCACCUGACAGAUUGUUGUGAGAAAAGGACUAAAAGUUCCAGGCCUCGCAAACUAUUCAUGGUUGAAGGAAUACUACCCUGAAAGUUGUUGUUGUUCAAGUCUAGUGCUUCAAGUUUCACACAAGUACCUAUACUGGUAGGAAUCUGGCCCUGCAACUUGUUAUCAGACAGGUUUAAGUAGCCUAGAUUUCUCAACUUCCCAAUUUCCAUCGGAAGGAACCCAGUUAAUUGGUUCUGAGAUAGGUCCACGCCCUCCGACAAGGAUGAGAGUUCAAGAAUUUCUGAUGGUAUGAACCCACUAAGGUUAUUUGAACCAAGAUCCAACAGUUCCAAAUUGUGGCAUUUGCCUAAACUGGAAGGAACUCUCCCCUGGAGAUUGUUUUCUCUUAAAUUGAGUUUGGUUAAAGAAGCUAAAUUUCCCAAUGAGAUUGGAAUUUUGCCAGAGAACUGAUUUCCAAGUAAAGCCAGCUCUUGCAAAUAUAUCAGAUCACCAAUUUCAGACGGAAUUUCACCGUGAAAUCUGUUGUAAGCUACAAAGAAAGCCUGAAGCUUCUUGAGAUUGGAUAUCCCUCUUGGGAUUUCUCCAGAAAUCUGAUUAUAAGACAGCGAAAGCUCUAUAAUCUCAGUCGAAAGAUUACUAACAGAUGCAGGUAAGACUCCACCAAAAUUAUUUGUAUUGAGCUCCAAAAGCUCCAAGCUGGUGGCAUUCACCAAUGUGGUGAGAAAGCUAAGGUCAUCAUCCUCCCCCUUCCCAAGAUAAUUGAAAGCAACUAAAAAUCUCCGCAUUUUCAGCAAAUUUCCAAGGGGUGGUACUUUUCCUGUGAGUCCAUUUCUACUAGCAAUAAGAGACUGAAGAUUCGUAGCAUUUGACAAUGUUACCGGAAUAUUUCCAGUUACAUUGUUUCUAUAAAUGCUAAGGAACUCUAAACUAGGAAGAGUAAUACCAAGCAAUGGAGGCAAUUUUCCUUCUAAAUGGUUUGUUCCAACAUCUAUGGCCACGAUAGAGGAAAGAUUGAAAAGACAAGGAGGCAGGGUACCACUCAAGUUGUUCUCAUUCACUACAAAGUACUUUAAGUUGAGCAAUUGACAUAAUUCAUCAGGUAUUUUCCCUAACAAAUUAUUCUUGCUUGCGGAAAAGGUAUCAAGUAAAGAAAGAUUACCAAAUGAAGGCGGAAUUCCUCCUGUAAAAUAGUUAGAAACAAGAGAAAGUUGUUUGAGUUUCAACAAUGUGCCUAAUUCUGCUGGAAUUUUGCCUACCAUCAUAUUAUACGAAAGACCAACAGAAACGAGAUUGAAGCAACCAGAAAUGUUUGAAGGAAUAUGACCAGUGAAUGAGUUAUUAUCAAGGCGUAAAACGUGUAACUUAUGUAAGUAGCCAAUCUCUGAUGGGAUUUCACCUGAAAAACUAUUAUUUUGGAGCUUAAGGAUAUAAAGAAAGCUCAGAUUACCAAUGCUUGGUGACAGAGAACCCCUCAAUUUCAGAGAAGUAAGAUUUAAAACUGUAACUCGGCGAUGACGGUGACCACAUGAGACCCCAGGCCAGUCACAGAAAUGUAUAGCUUCAUUCCAGGAGUCCAUGAUCUUGAAAGGGUCAUCAAUGAUCAUAUUCUUGAAUGCUAGCAGUGACAUUCUGUCUGUUUCAUUCCCUCCCAACUGAUUUUUUGAUGAACAGAGAACAAAGGGUAGUAGCAAAGAGAAAAAGGUCAGUAAAGAUAGUACAACAGUAUACUUCUUCAUAGCAUAAAAGUGAGAAUUCUGUGUACGAGUUGGGAGAAUCAUUUAAGAAAGUAAGAAGACAAAAGUAAAAUUGGUAGCAAAAGACACUGGUCUAAAACUAUUAAAUUUGUUCUCCAAUUUUAAUUGCUUAUAUGAUUUUUCAUGAUAUUGACAAGUUGGGUAUUUUAAGGUAGACUAGAAAAUAUAGAAAGGGACAUAAAGAUUCACGUGUACAAUAAAAUUGGACAUAAACUUAGACCAGUAGGCUGAGUUAUGACUUGCUGGUAAAUUAUUGGAUAUUAAAGUUUUUUGUUUCUCUAACCUCUGCCAGACUGUCCUGAUAAAUUCCCUAUUGCAUACUAUUUUGUUCCAUUCUUUGACGCUAAAGUGAAAAAUGUAAAGUAUUUCGAGAAGUGAAUUUUUUUUUUUCAUUUUCUGAGUGACAUUAGUUGUGUAAGUCUUCUUUUUGUCGAUGUAGUAAAGUUGUUCUUAUUUAGUUAGGUAAGAUGGGUAACAUUAGUCUAACGUUCGUAGCAACAUGUAGAAAAUCUUGUAGUAUAAUAUACUGAGAGAUGUCGGAGCAAUUAGUCAAUUAUGAAGUCAAUUCAGUGCGGUUUAUUCUUCUACAUGACUUUAAAGAGUUUGCAUAAUUUGUGGUCAUUCAACUCCUCUAGUGCUUAAAAUUGAAUUGUCCUCUUCAGGUAAACUUCCUGGAAAUUAGGUUUCCAGAUUUAUUUUUUAUUUUUUUGCAAAAGGGUUAGGUUAAAAGUUUGGUAACAAAGACCCAAUUAAGAUAAAUAAGGAAAAAGGACUGGGAAUUCAAUGGAGAUGUCAUGUGUCAUUUCCAUAAAUAAGCGGACAAGAAAUUUAAUGUAACUACUAUGAAUAAAUGCUUUUUUUCUCAAAAGGGAUUCUAUGAGUUUUGAAGUUUGGUCAAACUUUUUCUAUUUAAAUAAAAUAUCCCAAAGUUUGGCGAAAUAAAAAGAGAUUCGUCAAUUAGCAUAUCAACUGUUUGAGCCCCAAAAAGAAGAGUCUUAUUUUGAAUAGCUCAAAGACGAUAUUAUUUUUUUUGUUUCAGAGCAACAGUUAGUAACAAGGUAUGUUUGAACUCUUUUACUAGUUGGAGAGCAUAUUUGAUCCAAAAACCUAAUAACGAGAGCAUUUUUGCCAAAAAAGUAAUGGAGAGUAAAAGUGACUCAUUUUGAAUAGUCCUAAAGGUAUAUUACGGUGCAAUUAAAUUGGAAUAUCAUUGCAAUUUAAAAAUUCGCAAGUGAGAGUUUACUCUUAUCACUCCAUUCUUCUUGUGGUGUUUUGUCUUUGUAGGGCUAAUUAUUAGACAAGUACAAUCAACGACCUGAGCAAAUGAUAAAUCAAAUGGUCGACAAGUCUUCAAUGUGAACUCUUUGACCAUUUUCCCUUCUAGAACAACUUCGGAAUUUCAAGAUGAUUUAAAUUAAAUGUUCUCUUUUUUCUUAUAUAUUUAUUAAAUAAUAUAUGAGAAAAACCAUCAACAAUAAAGAGCAUAAAAUGAUUGAAUUUUCCUUAACACGAGUGGUUGUGUUGUUCUAUUGGAACUACACUAGUUGAUAAUUCAUCAAAGCACUACUUGAUUUGCUAAUGGUAUAAUUUAUGUCUAAUGUAUUUGAGCUUUAGACAUCGCGGUUGAAAUCUACUAUCUUUGUUCAGCAUCCAUGUCAAAAACAAGUUCACUGCAUCUGGUAAUUCCAUUGCAUCUCACUGCCUAAUAUGACCUGAAGGAACAACAGAUCGACAUUUCGACAUAUGAAUUAUCUGUUAGAAAAGUAAAUUAAAUGUUCUAAGAAAGCAAGAUGUUUAGACAUACUAAUCUCAUAUAUGUCACAUUUCUCAUGAACAAAAACGAGGCAUUGGCAUUAACAGGACUAAUAAUACAAUGAUUCAAAAUACAGCUAGACAGUGCAUCAAUCUUUACAUAGUCAGGUGAAUCAAAUCAGUCAGUUCUUCCAAGGAAACAAUCAUAUUCAGGUGUCAGACCUCUAAAACUGGCACCGAUCCAAAACAUAGAAAGCAUCAUGCAGCAUGAAAGCCAAUCAUCACCUCCCACGCACACUGGCAGGUGAUCGAGCACCUUUAUCACUGCUAAUGUCUUCAUCAAUUUCACUUCCAUCAACCCACACAACGUUGUUGCUUACACUCACCUCAGAACUAGCAUUACUGCUAGUGGCUAGUGGGGAGUCAGGCAUGUUAAUUGACCUGCUUGUCCUGCCUCUAGUAGGCGGCCCUGAUCUCACACUGUACAUAGAGGAUGCUGGAAUAUUAGUCAUCAAGGGACGCAGAUUACCCGAGACUCUCUGCCUUAUAUCCUGUCCAAGAACAAUGUCUCAAAGUUAAGCAAAUCCAAAAAGGAUAAGAGAACAAGAAGGCCAACAAGACAGAUCAUCUAAAAAAAACAACACAAAUAUUGCUACUCUAAUCAGUUUUUGAAAAUAUACUUAUGUCUUCAGUCUAUGGUAGAGCACAAUAUUCUAUUAGCAUAGGAAUGUGAAAAGAAUGUAUAUACCAUAUGUCUAAUAGCCAUAUCCACCUGAAGAAGAUGGUCCUCGAAGACUAGAACUUGAAGUGUUUGAUCCAGGAGAGGAAGCUAGCUAUCUAGAUGCAAGUUGCUUCUUGAGGUGGCCUCUGGGAGAGAAUUUGUUAACUGCAUCAAAGGUAGCAAAUUACAGAUAAAAAUCCAUGGUUCCCAAGAAAAAUCAAUUUUCAGAACAUGGUUUGAAAGAAAUGCAAGAGUAAAAUGCUAUUAUGAAAAUAUUGAAAAAAGAAAAAUAUUGACAGUAAAAUUAUUAGAGAUAACAAAAGUAAAAGAAACAACACAUUUGAAGCUGGCUCAACAGAUGAAGACCUGACACUAGCUGCUCCAGGUCUGCCCCUUGUAGCUGAAAUUGGCCUGUCAGGUAGUGAUGUCCUUAAAUUGGGUGGAGCAUCAAGGGAGAACCCUGGUAUAUCUGAAGGCUUCCAUGGUCUGGGUUUUACAGUUGGAGAACUAGCACGUGAGGCUGCAGGGUUUCGUGAUGCCAUUGUAGCUGACCGGGUACCCGAAGGGAAAGACACAGGUUUAACUGGAGGAACAGUUGUAUUUGUUGUACCUGACACUGAAGUUGCUCGACGAGUUGGAGUUGCUGCCCUUGAUGUGGACUUUGAUCCAGUAACAGAGGCCCUGCUUGUUGGUGUUGAGGACCGUGCACUGGACCUUGCAGUAGGUGUUGAAGAUCUUGGAGGAACAGUGGGUUUUGAAGCAGGCAUGGUGGCCCGAGAAGUAGGUGUGGCAGACCUUGAUGAUCUACAUGCUGUCGCGGUUGACAUUGAUCUAGAGGUUGCAGUGGAUGUCAUUGCUUUGGUUGCUGUAGCAGAUGUGGAUCUAGAUGCCGAGGUCGAAGUGGAUCUAGAUGAGCUCAAUGUCGGUCUACCAGUAGGAGUUGAAGGUCUUGAUCCACCUGAAGAAGAUGGUCUUCGAAGACUAGAACUUGAAGUGUUUAAUCCAGGAGAGGAAGCUGGCUGUCUAGAUGCUAAGUUGCUUCUUGAGGUGGCCUCUGGGAGAGAAUUUGUUAACUGCAUCAAAGGUAGCAAAUUACAGAUAAAAACCCAUGGUUCCCAAGAAAAUAACUCAAAACUCUGAUGCACACUUCAGGUUAAGACUGCCAGGCAAGCUUCACUAUUUGCACUUCACAUAUUUAUCUACUCACAGUAAUAGGCAAAGUUCUGCAUUGUCUUAAAGUAAAUUGGUGUCUAGACAUAUUUAACUAUGCUUUCUCUAAUCUUUCUUUAGUGUACUUACAAACAACAGCAUACCCGAUAUAGACCCACGAGUGGGAUUUGGGAAGGGUGGGGUGUACACAGACCUUACCCUUAUUUCUGACGGGUAGAGAGGUUCGAAAGACCUCCGGCUCAAGAAAAUAGAUUUUCAGAACAUGGUUUGAAAGAAAUGCAAGAGUAAAACGCUAUUAUGAGAACAUUGAAAAAAGACAAAUAUUGACAGUAAAAAUAUUAGAGAUAUCCUAAGUAAAAGAAAUAACAAUAGAAAUAAAAUAGAAGAACAAAGUAAUGCUAGCAAAAUAAUACACCCUUUGUCCCAAUUUAUGUGACACUAUACUUUUCAGUGUGUCCUCAAAAGAAUGUCACUUUUCUAUAAUAAGAAAUAACAACUUUAAAAUUUCCCUUUUACCCCUAAUGAAUUAAUUUACCGCCACACAGAUAUCUAAGAUUUGUUUUAAACCACAAGUUUCAAAAGUCGUUCUUUUUUUCUUUGUUUUAUGGCACCUGGGCCUAUCUCAACCCCAAAAGCUAGCUCAAGAAGGGAGGACUGCCCAAGUCCAUAUAAGGAGACCACCAGUCCAUUGUCCAACCAAUGUGGAACUUUUACCCACUCUAACAUUCUAAAACUUUCUGUCAAAUUGAGACAGUGAGAUAAUACUGGUAAGGAAACAAACAGAUACUCUAGAUUAGAAUCCUGCUCUACCACGAGGAAAAGAGAAAAUGUUCAACUACCUACUAAUCGUCUACCCUGAUACUCGACCUCUAUGCUCUCCUAUUUAAAGUCAUGUCCGUAUUGAGUUGAAGAUGUUUCAUAUCUUGUCUAAUCACAUCUCCCCAAUUCUUCCUUGAUCUACCUCUACCUUUCCUCAAACCUAUCAUUGCCAGCCCUCUCACACCUCUUCACUAGGGCAUUUGUGUUCCUCCUCUUCGAAUGCUUGAACCAUCUUGGCCUUGUUUCUCGCAUCUUGUCCACCAUUGAGGCUACUCCCACCUGGCAUCAUAUAUCUUCGUUUCUAAUCUUGUCUCUUCUAAUGUGCCCACACAGCCAUUUAAGCAUCCUCAUUUAUGUUACCUUCAUCUUUUGAGGCUACUCCCACCUGGCCUCAUAUAUCUUCAUUUCUAAUCUUGUCUUUUCUAAUGUGCUCACACAUCCAUCUAAGCAUCCUCAUUUAUGUUACCUUCAUCUUCUGAGGGUGCAAGUUCUUGAUUGACCAACACUUCAACCCAUACAGCAUAGUUGGUUUAACAACCGCUCGAUGGAACUUACCUUUCUUAAUCUUUCUUUUACUUAGGUCAAUGUAAAUUAUGGGUUUCAAAUAAAAGCAAGUUACAUGUAAAAGCAAGUUACAAGUUGGUGUUUUUGGUCAUAUGAACUUCUAAAUUGUGACAUGUUGUUAAUCUUACAAAACUUUGUCUAUUGGUGUUUUUCCUCAUUGUUUCCGUCUAUUAUUGUCCAAGAACAACCAAGUUAUAAAUGACUGCAUAAAACCAAGAAAAACACCUAAUAUGCAUAAUUGUAGAAGAUUCUCUUCAAGAUUAAACAAUUCCAUCAAAUUGGAUAAUGAUUAAAUGUGUGAUACAUUUAGUAAUACUUGGAAUAUCAAUAAAUCUGAUUAUUAUAAUUACUCAGGAGAAUCUUUAAGAAAAAACCAACUCACACUGAUCACAGACACCCCAUCAUAAGAGCAUGUGCUUGUUAAUGCAUCCUUACUAGGAUAAAGAAACCAUAGCCCUAAAAUAUUCGUAGGAGUUUAAGUUUUCCAAAUGGUUGAUAUCUAAGAGAUUGGGUACUCGUAAUAUCCCACAAGAAGCAUCACAAAAGAAAUGUAUGGCAUACUUUUUCUUUCUGAUGACCGUAUGCAUCUACAGUCAACCAUUAGGACCAACUGCAGCAUUCGAAGUUCGGGAUAAUGGGCCCACACCUCUACUACUCUCCAAUUAAAUGUGAGGCUUAGUUCACAUGAUGUAGAGUUCGAACCUAGACCUAGGUCACAAGUUCCUCGGCCUUUGUCACCUGAACUAAGCCUGGGGGCAGAUGUACAUCAUACAGCUACAUUCAAAAACUAAAAUAACCCUCAAAUUCAGCAGAGGGCUUCUGCGAAUAGCAUUUGACUAUACAAUGGAGCCACCAUGUGCACGCAUUCUGAACUAAAGAACCUGUCAGGGUCUUCCUGUUUAAUUAUAGAAAUUUCCUUUUAGGUUCCGUGAAAUCUCCACAUCCCUCUAGUGGCUGGAUAUUGGUCCAAAGGGCGGGUCACAAGAAUUUCUCGGUUAUCAAAGAAAAAAAAUUACUUUCAGAUUACAGAGAUGGUCAACAUUUCCCGUGUUAAACAUAACAAAAGUGAAAAUAUGCUAAUUUCCAAUUACACAUAAUGCAUUUCAGCAAAGAAAUAAUGUAACAGUAGAAUAUACAUAUUCUUACUCUAGAUGUCAAUGCAGUGGGGUGAGCUCUAGAAGUUCCCAGCUGACUCAUCAUAGUUUUGCGUGAUUCCAUCUCUAGAGAAGGAAAAAGAGGAGUGCCUGGAGGUGUUAGAAGCCUGAAACAGGAAAAUAACAUCUCAUAAUAAAGCAUACAGAAGUGCAGAUAGGAUUUUAAAACAAUGUCUGGGAAAUCUGAUUCAUGAAUCAACAAAAUAAUUCAACAUCAGAGGUGCAGAGAAGCUCUUUUUUGUUCUUCUUUUCAACUUUAUAGAAAGGGGGUGCACCACCCUACUCCCUUUAUUUAUUUGAGUGCUAGAUUUUGAUAUAUGGCAGCCAUUAAUUUUUGUACUUGAAUUGUGCAGUAAACAAAUACAUCUACAAACUAUACGUGUUUUUCUCACUGUUUAUGAUAUUUGAAUAAAAACUUGCUUUCAACAUCCUAAUAUUUUAUCACUUCAAAUUUGCAUCCUCAACACUCUUAGCUAUCCUCCCUUGUAACAUCAAGAAAUUAAAUUCAGCUAGCAUGUGUUAAGAUAACUACCUGGAGAAGUAUGACAUCAAAGUUUAAGAUGCACAUAUAAAUUGUAUUUGGAGGCUUGAGUGUCACAUGUCAAACACCUAGACUUCAACAUUUAAAGAGUUCAGUAGACUUGGACACCUGUAUCGGUCUACUAGACACAAGUAAGGCACUAUCUCAUAAUUUUCUGCCUCUCCUCAGGGUGCAUAACAACAAUUUUAAAAGGAUUUUAUUAAGUCUCUUAUGAUAAAUGAAACGUAUGACCUACCAAAUCUUC